UCGGAUAUGCGUUGGACAAAAUUUUGCAAUGAUGGAAGCAAAAAUGGCUUUGGCAAUGAUCUUACAACGUUUCUCAUUUGAACUUUCCCCAUCCUAUGCUCAUGCACCUAUUAGUCUUCUAACUAUGCAACCCCAACAUGGUGCACACCUGAUUUUACAUGGACUUUAGUGUCAGAAUUCCUGGUAUCAGUAGAUGUUAAUUAGCACGAUCUUUAAACCUAGCUAGUGUCGAAUUUAAAUUGUCCACACUCCCUUUUCCUUGAAAUGUGUCCUCUGCAAAUCCAAUGUAUUAAUAAAAUUAUCUUUUUGUAUGUCACCGUGGGUUUGAUUAUUGAUAUCAAUUAAAUGCUUUGUUUAUUACAUAUAUGUUCCUUUGUUGAGCAUGUACGGUUGGUUUGUCGCGGAGAUUGUAUCAAGAAUUUUGGUUGUAUCAAAAUUAGCGACUGUAUUAGCUUCUAAUUGGAAAAAUAGAAAUCCUACUUACAACAACUGUAUUUGGUAUCAUGACCAACAACACCAUUAUUCUUGUCCACUAGAAUGCACCUAAAAAAGUUCAUCAGAAAGGAAAAAGUGUUACUAUAACACCCCAAAAUUAACUUUAGGGGCAAAACAAUAAAUUAUAAAUUAAUUAAUUAAUUAAUUAAUUAAACUCAUUAAAGGUAAAAAAGUCCAUUUAUAAUUAAUAAUCCUAGGUAUAAAUUAGAUUUUCCUAUUGUCUUCUCUAUUCAGAAAACCUUAUUAACCAAAAAUAAGAGAAUUGGAGAAUAUAGGGUUGAAGGAUUGAAGAUCUAAGGUUUGAAGUUUAGAUUUUUCGAGGUAAGAUUCUAACCCUAAAUUAAUAUAUUAGAUUUGUUAGUUUUGAACACAUUAGAUAUUCUUUAGAAAAUUUCAAUUUAAAUUAGGGUUAGUUUAUUUAAUUUUUUUUUCAGAUCAAAAUAUUGGAAACUUGAGAUUAUGGGUUGUUUUAUUGUUGGAAAAGGAGAAAUUCUGGAAAUUGGGAAAUUUUAAGUUUUUAGAUGAAAAAAAAAAAAAGAAAGAGGAUGUGUGUGCGUGGGGGAAGAAUGAAGUAUGAUGGGACAGAAAAGAAAAAAUAAAUAAAACAAAAACAAUAUUAAUAAUAAAGGAAGACAUGUACUGUGUGGGAGUGUGUUUGGUGGUUAGUAUAUUUAUAAUUAUAUUAACAAUGAUGGGGAGUCGUUAUGUAUACUGUUUGGUGGGAAAAAAAAAUUGAAAGUGAGAGAAUAAAAUAUAUAAAUAGAAUGAGGUGAAGUACAAAGUUAGUUAGGUUUAUAGCAUUAUAAUUAUAUUAGUGAUGAAUGUAAUUUAAUAAAUAAAAUAGAAUUUAAUUAUUGAAAUAAAUUAUAGUUUAAUUAAAUUGUGUCCCUAUGAACAAUUGAAAAUAAAAUUAAAGGUUUAUAUGAAUUAGAAAUUUAUUAAUUCCUCAAAAAUAUGAAUAGAUUACAUUAUCUUUCAUAAUUAAAAACAUUAAUUUGAAUACCUAAGAUUUUAUGAUUUGUCAAACCUAUAAUUUUAGAUAAAUAGUAAUUGUUAUUUCUCUUAUGCUUUGUUAGGUGAAGAGUAUAUUUUCUAGAAUUAUUUUUCUUCAAAGUUUUUAAGGACUUCUUUUAAGGUAAGGGAAAUUAAUACAAAUUUGCAAAAGAAAAUAAUUUUUUUUGUUAUAUAUAUUGUUUGAAAUGUGAAAUUAUUAUUUUUACUUUUGAGCAUGGAUCAAAUAUAUUGCAUGGAAAAUGUGUUAUAACAUUUAUUUCGUUUAUAACGAAACACAUGGAGAUAUUAUGCCUUUGUAAGUUAAAAUAAAUAAAAUAAAGAAUUUGACUCUAAUUUGUUUGGCCUUUGUCAAUGGGAUAUAAUAGUUAACCUUUACAUUUUCAUGGCGGGGAAUGUAAUUGAUUUAGACCCCAACCUCUAGGGGUUUGGUUAAAGGUUACUAGUAUCAGUAGUGUUUGGUUCUGUCCACCUUAAAAGGAAUAUUUGAGGUUAACCACCCAUUUGUAAGGUCCUGCUUAAUUGGACAUUAUUUGUUAUUUGAUAACCAGAGUAAAAACUAUUGAAAUGUAUUUGAUUUGAAAUAAAUAUGAAAUGAUUUUGAUAUAUAUGAAAAUGUUUGGUUGAAUAGUUUAAAUGUAUUAGCAUAUUUAACUCAAAAAUAUUAUAAAUAGAGUGCAUGUUAUAUCUCUUGUUUGUAAGUAUAAUUAAAAAUAUUUGAUCCAUAAAAUUGUGCUAAUGUUUCUUAUUGGGCUUUGAGCUCAUCUCUCUUUGUUGAUAAUUUUCUAGGUACCCUCAGUAAAGGCGAGGAGUGAUGGUUAGGAGAGGAAAUUGGUUUGUUAGGACUAUUGUUAACACUCUUUAUUUUGGACAUUAUUCAGAUGUUAAAAUUUAUUUCCCAUUUGAAUUAUUUGAGUUUGGAGUUAUUUGGGUAAUAACACUUGGGUUGAUGUGUCAGUUUUUAUAAAUUGAUAUCUAAAGAUUUUAGAAUUUAUUUAUUUUACUACUUUGGACAACAAUUUGGUAAUUGGUAAUUUCUAGUUACAAAAAGAAAGUUUGUGUCAUUUCCACUUUAAGCCUUCAAGCUUGAGGUGUGAAAUGACUAUCAUACCCUUGAAGUGGGUUUUAAGGCGUGAAAGAGUGGUAUCAGAGCACUAGGUUAUGAUCUUAUUGGAAACUUGUUUUAGCUUACUUUGGCGAUAGAUGAGUGACGCAUUAAUUUAAGUUUCAGCUUCAUCUUGUAUAAAUUCCUAUUCUUCUUUAUAAUUCUAAAUUGUCUUAUUGGUUUCUUAGUGACUAAUUUAGUUAUACCUUAUUCUCUAUAGACGAUCAUGCCACCUAGAAGAACAACAUCUUCCCAAUAUUGUCAGGCUAAUGAUGAUGUACCUCUUCCACUUGAGGGUUUGCCUCCCAUGAAUGCAAAAGGCCUUUAUAGGUAUCUCGAAACUUUAACUGGUUUUGUUGAGUGUCAAGCCAGAGUUGCUUAAACUAAUGGUCAAGGACGAUCCUCAUCUUCUAGGGAUAGCUAAUUUGAUGACUUUAAGAAGCUAGGUCCUUUUUAUUUUUUUAGCACUUCAGGUCCAACAAAAGCAGAGGCUUAGAUUCUUAAGAUGGAGAAAUUCUUUGAUGUCAUAGAUUGAUCUGAAGAGCAAAAGGUCUCUUAUGCAACAUUUAUGUUAGACAAAGAGGCAGAUCAUUGGUGGCGUAUGACCAAGAGGCUUUUAGAGGAUCAAGGACCUAUAGCAUAGAUACUAUUUAGCGAGGCUUUCUAUAAGAAGUACUUCCCUGAUAGUGUUAGACAUCAAAAUGUGGGAGUGAUUGUUUGUUUGGAACAAGGGGAAAUGACUAUGGCCUAAUAUGAGGCCAAAUUUACAGAGUUGUCAUGUUUUGCCCCAAAGUUGAUUGCUACGAAUGACGAAAAAGCAUUAAAGUUUGAGGAUGGAUUAAAGCCUUACCUAAAGAACAAGAUAUCCAUUCUAAAACUUGGCAUCUAUUUAGAGGUUGUGGAUAAAGCCCUUAUUGUAGAAAAUGAUAAUGAGGAGCUUCAUCAGUAUAGGGAAUAACAAAGGAAGAGGAAUAGGAGUUAUGGUGCUCAUGGUAACCAAGCACAGAAGUGGUAUGUUUUUGCUAGAAAUCAGAACAAAGGGAAGGCAACACAAAAUUCGGAUGUGAUAUGUCCUACUUGUGGUAAGAAGCAUGGGUGUAGGUCAUGCUAUAGAGAGACUGGAACUUGCUUUGGCUGUAGGAAGUAAGGACACAUGAUUCAGGAUUGUCAAGAGAAUAAAAGCUUUAUCAUUGGGAAGUCUAAGGAGGAGAAUAAAGAGGAUAAACAGAAGCUUAGAGCCUAAAGGUGGGUGUUUGCUCUGACUUAUCGAGAUGCUCAAGCCACUUCUGAUGUGGUGAUAGGUACUAUCUGAAUCCACUCUUUAUUCUCUAGUGCGCCUUAAUUGAUAUAGACUCAACACACUCUUUUGUGUUAGUAUCUUUUGCUAGUUUGUUGGGUAUGCCAGUUGCUAGUAUGGACUUUGCUUUGAUUGUUGCUACACCUAUGGGAGAUUUUUUUGUGACUAGUAAAAUGCUUAAAGAUUGUCUUGUGAUGAUUGGUCAUAGGGAAAUGCCCGUUGACUUAGUACUGCUUGACCUUUAGGAUUUUGAUGUAAUUUUGGGGAUGGAUUGGUUAGCUUCCUAUCAACUGAUUUUGACUUUGGUGACUAACACACUAUAAACAAUAUGAACUCCUACUUGAUAAUAUAAUUACCAUAAAAACAUUACUUUGUAAUAAAUCAAUAUUUAACUAUUAUUAUACACAUUAUAUAAUAGUUAAACAUAUAUGCAAGCAUCCAUAAGUAAUGAGUAGUUGAAUAACAUAAGUAAAUAUUACUCAAUAUGAAAUUCAUGAAACUUUCAAGUUCGACCACUUUGGUGACUAACAAACUUUGCAUUAUGUGAAUUUCAAAAUUUUGUAAUAAACAUCAUUUACAUCUUUAAAGGAUGUUCAUCAACUUUCUAGUAUGGUCACUUUGGUGACUAACACACUAUAAAUAAUAUGAACUCCUACUUGAUAAUAUAAUUAUCAUAAAAACAAUACUUUGUAAUAAAUCAAUAUUUAACUAUUAUCAUAAACAUUAUAUAAUAAUUAAACAUAUAAGUUUAUUGGAAAACCAUAAUAUCACAAUAAUCAUAAUCAAAAUUGUCAAACAUGAUGAGAGAACUUAAUUUUCAAACAUGAUGAGAAAGCUUAAUGAGACUUUGUAAAUAGAGCAAAUAUAAGAGGUUUUCUAUACACCAAUAAUAAUACAAAAUUAUAAACAUGCAAGGCAUGAUACUAUAACAAGAAUAUGAGAUUAUAUGAGAAAUUCUUACAUAAUUAGCUCCAUUUACAUUUAUAUGAAUUCUAUCUCAAAAUCUCAUAAGUAUCAAUUUGCAUUACAUCGACAAUAAUAUCCAUAAUGUAUAAUUCAUAUAAAUAAUAACCUAUAAUAGGACCUUCAGCCAAAUGGUCUUUAACCUCAUUCUUAUAUCACCUCAUACAUAAUAGGUAAUCAAUAAUAAUACUAUACAAUUUGAUAGACACAAAACUUUAAGGUUUGACCACUUUGGUGAUUGCAAACAAACAUAAUAUGAGUAUCAAACUACACAAAAUCUCAAUCAUGUUAAACCUUCAUAAUACUAUUAUGGAAGCAUAAAAGACAAUUUGCUAAAAAUAACUUAUGAUCCCAUGUUGUACAAUAUGCAACUUCUUCAUAAAAGGAUCAAGUUUAGCAUAAAGCCAUAAAGAAUUCAAUUUAUUCAAAUCAUGCAUUAAUAGCAGUAAAUAGUUAUGUGGCAACAAAUAAUAAUUGACAUAAAAUCGUAAUUCAUAUAAAAACUUGAAGCCACCAUAAUUGAUUUUGGGAAUAAAUCAAACACAAAAAUAUCGACAAAAUAUUUCUAUUGUAGCAAAAAAAAUACAAUCAGUAAAUGUAAUUCUCUCAUCAAAAUUUUAUAUCAUAAAACAAAAAUAAAACAACAUUUAAAGGAAAAUCAUAAGUUCUUGAACCAUGGCUUUGAUACCACAUAUUAGGUUUUCUUUAUUUAUGCAGAAUAAUAAUAACCAUAAUUCCUGUAGAACAAUCAUAACCCUAAUUCCAUAAUUAUGCAAAUCAAGCCCUAAUUUUGCACAAAUCAUAAUAGCCAAGCAUUUUUAGAACAAUAUGAUAUUCACAAUUCUAUUAUUGAGAGAAAAAACAAAAACAUACCUUUAAUCCAUAGGGAACUUUUGAAGAGACCAAACAAUAAGCAUAAUAGAAGCUGUGUUUCUCUUCAUUAACCCCUUUGCCCUUAGGUUUUCUCUUAUGCAUAUUAUUGAAGGAAUAUAACACUUAUUUAUAGGGUGGAGAGAGGACUAGUUUCCUUAUAGAAUUAGAAGUGCACUUUCCAUUAAAGUGCCUUUAAUUUAGGAAGCUAACUUCUCGAAAACUGACCAAUAGGAUUUUAGCUUUAUUAUUUAUUAAACCAUAAUACUUAAUUUGAUAUUUAAAUAAAUAUCACGGGCCACAUAAAAUUCUUCUAGGGUGUCCAUGACCAAAUUUGCUAAUUUAACCUGGAUCCCUUGCACAAUCCAUUAUGCUUUGUGAGAUCCCAUAGGGCCAUGUAAUCUAAAGCCUUACAAUCUACAUUGAUUAUGCAAAUCAAUAUUGAAACUUCAAAUUUUCAAUUAAAUAACGGAUCUUCAACUGUCCAAUUACAAAAAAUGCUUACUAAUGAAUAAACAUGAUGUUAGAACUUUACCUUGAACCAUUUUAGAAAAUCAAAAUUAAUUCAAAAGCUUUUUGCACUAGUUCAAAGUUGUGGAAACCCUAGCUCAUUCUUAACCUUAUGCUUUUUACUCCCUCUUAAUUCUUGUGUUAGUGUUGGAUUCUCACAAAACCUAAUACAUGAGUCAAGAAGAAUCAUAUGUCAUUCUUUUAAAGAAGACCUCAAUUAAUUUCUCAAAUAUUAAAUGAAUCCUUUGGGAUACACAAAUCUCAAUAUUUAUUAUUCAUAAUUAUGAGGAAAAAUUUAUUACAUUAUCAUAAAUGAAAUUCAAAUUUUAGAAAAGAAGAUACAUAAAUGAAGAGUGAUAUCUACCUAUAUUGCAUACAAACAAAUUAAUAACUUAAAAGAACUAUCUACAAUAAAAGGCAAUUUAAGAGUAAGUUUAAUCCUUACCACUUGAUUAAUUGUUACAUUCAGGUCAAUUAUAAGGUGCACCAUUUUAUUAUAAAACUGCCAAGCUUUUUUAAUUGGAACAAAUUAAUUUUCUUAACUAAAUGGUAAAAUGACUUUAGUCAUUGUUAAUGGUGUUUAAAAAAAAAAAGUAUCUCUUAGUCAUAUAAAAAACAAAUCAUUUGAAUAUGAGUAAAUUUUUUUUCCAUUACAUGAACAUGAGGAAAAUAAUAAUAAUUUGACUCAUACAUACCAAUGAUGAACACUCAAAUAUUACAUUUUUGAAGUAUUUAUGCUCAUUUUGGUGAUUUUGGUUUGUUAAUUGAGAAAAAAAAAUUAAAUUACCCAAUAAUAUUUUUAAAUCUUUGUUAGAAGGAAGAUUGGUCUUCCUAAACUAUUUUUAUUUUUUAAUCUCAAUCUUGAAAGAGUACCAUUUCCUUAAUAUUUAAAUAGCUAAUUUUUAACAACUAGGCUAAAAAUAGUCUUUGCAUGCUAUGAAAGCACUAACCGGUGAACUUUAAUUUUUAGAGAGAUGGAAGGUUGAGAAGGGUACUAGACCAGUUUAAAAGUCUUAAUACAAAAAAAUUGUAUGAUCAUGUCAUUGAGAUAGGCAAUAGUUUGGGAAGACUAACCUUCCUUUUUUUUUUUUUAUGUUGUUUUGAUAUUCUUAAUUUUCCUCAAUAUAACAACCCAAAAUCACUAAAUAAAGCAUAGAUAAGACUUCUAAAAUGCAAUUUUUGAGUUUUCAUCAUUGAUAUGUGUAAGUUUCACACAAGGAAAAAAUGAAAAUAAAAAAUCUACCCUUGGUCAAGUUAUUUUGUUUUCUUAUUAUAUGACUAUAAAAUAUUUCUUACUAUUUUUUAAAUACGAUUAAUGAUGACUAAAAUCUCUGUUACCAUUUAUUCAUUGAAAUUAAUUUGUUUUCAAUUAAAAAAAAACUUGGUGAUUUUAUGAUAAAAUGUUGCACCUCAUAGUUGACUUGAAUGUAACAAUCAAAUACAAAUAGUAAGUUUCACGUUUUUCUCUUAAAUUGUCAUUUCUUUUGAGUAGUUCCUUUGAGCUUAUUUAAUUUAUUUAAGAGGAAUGCAAUAUAUGUAAGUAGAUAGUAAUCCUCAUUUAUGUAUUUUUUUUCUAAAACUUGAAUUUUAUUUCUAAUAAUUUAAUAAAUUCGACCUAAUUGUAUAUAAUAAUGAUUAAGCUUUCACAUAUCCAAAGGAUUCAUUAAAUACUUGAGAAAUUAAUUGUGGUCAUCUUUAAAAGAAUUGUGGUUCCUCUCUUGACUCAUGUAUUAGGGUUUGUGAGAAUCCAACUAUAACAUUAGAGGUGAGAGAAAAAAAAAAGUAUAAGGUUAAAUAUCUUUUAAGGCUUCCAUACAUAACUUUGAACUACUGUGCAAAUCUUUUAAAUUAAUCUUAAUUUGCUAAAAAUGGCUCAAGGUAAAGUUCUAAUACUAUGUUUGUUCAUUGCAUAGCAUUGUUUAGAACUUAUAUAGCUAAAGAUCCAUUUUUUAAUUAGAAAGUUGAAGUUCUAAUCUUGAUUUGCACAACUAGUGUAGAUCGUAAGGCUCUAGAUUAUAUGGUUUUAUAAGAUUAUUAAUUGCAAAACAUAGUAGAUAGUGUGGGAUCGAGACCUACAUUAAAGGUAGCUUUAUUUGGUCAUGGAUGCCCAUUCUAGAAGGUAACUAGAGUAAAUAAGAAAAUUUACAGCCAAUCCAUUGCGUAAGCUAUUUUCAACCAAAUUCUUUGUUUAAGGCCUUAAAAAAAAAAUAAAAAUAUUAAGCCUUAAACAAUGGUGUUCGGCUAAAAAAAUUGUGCAUCUGACAUAAUUUUGGGUUUUAUUCCUAGCACUAAUUCCCUUUUGGAAUAUGUGUUUAUGACCAAUUUUGGUGUGUCUAACCCAAGCUUUGCACCAUUUAUUAUGCUUUUUGAUGAUCUUGCAUGACAUAUUAUCUAGGUUAUUGUAAGAUACAUCAUAUAGAUUGUAAAUAUAUAUAGAAUCAUUUAAGAAAUUCAAAUAUCAUUUGAAUGCCAUAUUUUUCUGACUCAAUCAAAGUUGAUGUAAAUUUGUAAUUUCUUUUAUCACAUUUUGUUAGAAUUUAAGGUUUGGUCUCUUUCAAUUACGUAGCUAACCUUUGUUUUUAAAUUUUCAAAAUUUUAUAGUGUAAUUUUUUUAGAUGUUUAGGUGAUUAGGUGGUACUUUUAGUGUUCAUUUCCUUUUAAAUUAUAGUGCAUAAAUAUUAGGGUUAAAUUUACUCACACCCCUAAGGUUUGGUAUAAAUACACCUAUUCACUAUAGGUUUCAAAUUUCUUCAAUUAGCACCCCUAUAAAUUUAUUUUAUUUAUUUUUUAGAGAGUUUUUAGGUAAAAAUAUUUUAGAUAGAUGUGUUUAACAAUUCUCUAAAAAAUAAAAUUUAUAAAUGAAAUAAAUUUAUAGGGGUAUUGAUUGACGAAAUUUGAAACCAAUGGUAUGGUUUAGUGUUUUUACACUAAAUUAAUUAACCUCAGAGGUUGUAAAUGAAAUUAACCUUAAAUAUUAUUUUGUUUGCUUUCUGUAUGAUAGAGUACAAACAUAUAUAUGAAAAUCAAACUAUGAUUAAAUGAUCUUUUAUUUGUUUGAUAAGCCCAUGUAUUUGAGUUGAGGCCUUUUAAAUAAAAUAUUAAUGUGUGAAUUUUGUUUUUAUGGUUUUACUUUUCAAUUAUCUAUAUUAUUUUAUUUAUGACUAAAAGAUUUGAAACGCUAAUAUUUUUAGGUUUCACCAUAGUGUUUUGGAAUCUAUUAUUUCACAGGGAAGGUAGCUCGAUUAAAGAAUGAAGAAAAAGGGAAAAACAUAAUUGGUUUAUAACAUUAAAUCAAAAUCAUCUUUAGGUCUUUAGCUUCUUGUUGAACAACCUAACAAUUCAUCUUUUAGAUUUUUAUCUAUUUCACUUUUCAAAUUAUUUUUUUCUUUUUUAAUAGAAAUCUUUCAAACAUCUACUUGAUUUUUUUUUCCUAGCUUUCCAUCCUUUUCAAUUUUAAAUUAAUAGCAAUAAUAUUUUACAUUAACAAAUGCAAGCACUAUGCUAAAAAACUUUGGUCUCAUGUGAUUUUGCUUUUAAAAAUUCUAUAGUUUCCAGUGUUGUAAGUAAGAAGGGUGUGAUUAUUUUAAAAAAAAAUGCUAUUAAUUUUUACUUGAAUUUCUACAAUUCUGUUUUAGAGAUAUGAAAAGCUUCAUUAUUCUUAUAUUCAAUAAAACCAUAACCUUUUGGGUGAUUUCAAGCAACUAGCAACUGUUAACCAAUGCAUAAUUGGAACCCAAAUUCUAAGACAAAUUGUACAUAUAUAUUCUCUAACAGUACAUGCACUUAUAAGUUUUGCUUUAUGAAAUUAAAGCGAGGUAAAUGGAUGAAUGGUAAAAAAAAAAAAUGUAUAUUAUUCAUGGUAUACAUUACAACCCUUCAAUAUAUACAUGACUUUCCAAAUGAUACAUGAAUUGCAUAUACAAGGUACACAUACAUCACUCCUAAACAUAACAAUUGAUCAUUAACUACUCUUGAAUUGUGGGAGAAAUUGAUUCUCCACUAAUAGAAAUAAUGCAUUAGAGAUACACAAAGAAAUUUUUUAUCAGUCAUAUUGGGAGGGAUUACUCUAUGGGAUCAACACAAUUCCAAUUUUUGUUGAUGGAGGCAUCAUGGUGGAUGCAACACUCUUCCUUGGUUCAAAGAUUGAACCUGCGCUCUUUGUUGCGAGAGGAACAAUGAUUAAAUUCAUCACGAAGUAUAGCUCUUUUAGGACUGAGCACCCAUUCCCUCCCCAAGUGUCGUUGUGGUAUUUUAUAAGAGUUGUCUUAUAGAGUUGAACCAUUUUGACCAUGGCCAGCACCUAAAUGCAUCUGCCACUGUCCUCUCGCAAAAUGACUCUUUAACUGGGCAGAGUCAAUUGUUUAUACAAAGCAUAGAAAUCAUGCAUUGAUCCUCAUCAUAAUGUCAUAAUUUUUCUUUGAAAAACUAAGCUAAACAUUUGAUCCAUGACUCAGACGAAAUUGGGCUGACCAUGAAUGAAAUUGAUGUCUGUUAUGCCAGUGAGAUCUUGCUUCUUGAUCUGCCUUGGCCAACAUUCUUGACCAAGAAAAGAACAAAAAGGACUCAACACAAGAAUCCAUAUAUAAAUCAACACAUACCCAUUUGUAUCAUUUUUGGAAAUUCACAUAAGACUUUACAUGUGGAGAACCAACCAAGAAAAAAAGGAAAAAAAAAAAGGAAAAUGAAGCAUCGUUUAACCAUGGAGAACGACAAUCAACAAGAUUCAUACAACAGGCAAUAUUUUCUAGCAGAUUCACUGAAGAUUUCUGGAUUUUGAUCAGAUCGAAAAUAUUAUCCAACAAAGCAAUGUACGGUAGAGAUGUUUCUAGUUUGACAAAAUUUUUCUAUGCCAUGUUAUUAUUUCAGAUCUAGAAGCAGGUUGCUAGUGUUUCAAAUGCUUAGAUUAGUAAAAUCAUGAAACAAACAUGUAUAAAGAACAAAACUCCUUUCAUAUAAAGAGGAAAAACUUGUGAUGGAGAGAGAGAAAGAGAGACGUGCCUUAUGAGCAAUCAACAACACACUCACAGGACAUCUUAAAGUUCUUCUUCAGUAAAUAAAUGUUCAUUCCCGCAUUUGUUGCUGCAUAAACCACUGUAACUAAGAGCAAUUAAAAACGAUAGCAAUAUAAAAUCUUCAUCAAACCCACCGACUUGGUGAGAAAAAAAGGAAGAAGAAGAAGCAGAAUUGGGAGUCCUCAGAAACAAAUUUUAACAUGAUUUAAAAAUUUCUAUUCAAAAAGAAAACCAAUUUUAAAAGUGAAAUAGAUAAAAAUCUAAAAGAUGAAUUAUAAGGCUCUUCAAAAAGGAUAUUUUAAAAGAAAGAACAAUUCAAAAAUUAAAGAAACUGAUAAAUGAAAGUUGCUUUUAACCUUGCUAAAUCAUUUAUUGGAUCGGCAUUAUCUUUUUUUUAUAUUCCGCUUCAUCAUUAGAGUCAGUUUCACCUUUAUCUUCACCUUCACCUUUGCCUCUAUAGAGAAGCAUCUCCGAUUGACUCAUGGCAAUAAGAGAUAUAAGGCCCAUUAUAUAUUAUCUCACAAGGUGUUAACAUAGUUAAAGGUUGAUGUUAUAUGGGAAAAAAUCUUUUUCCUAUCCAAUCCAAUCUAAUCAUAUCAUGUUUGGAUUAUUAUAUUAAAAAAAAAUCACUAUGAUUUUUUAUUUUCUAUAUUUGGAUUCUUAUAUUUAGAAAACCUUAAUUAUGAGAAAUCCAUAAAAGGGAAUUUUCGGCAACUUUUUUCUUAUUUACAAUGACAACUCAAACUUCUACAGAAAAUUAAUUAAGGCUACGUUUGGCUAUUGGAAACUACUAGGGAAAGAAAAAAAAUGAGAAGGAAAAAUUAAUUUCUCAUAUUUGGUUUUGCUAUAAAAAUGUAAUAGAAAGUCAAAUAUAAUUAAAAUAAUUAAGAAAUUUAUAUAUUUUCAAAUAAUUUAAUUUUUGUAUAGAAAAGUCAAAUAAGUGGAAAAAAAGUUUGAAGUAGUAUAUAAAAAUAAUUUAUUAACUUAAAUUUUUUUUUCUUUCGUUCUACUUUUCCUCUUUAUUUUUUUGUUCUUUUACUUUUUUUCUACAUUUUUUCCCUUGCAUUUUCUUUCAAACUUUCUAAGAACCAAACGUAGCCUAAAAUAACCUUAUUCAAUUGUUUUCUAUGACUAUGUUUGGUUUUGAAAAAAUUUGAAGCAAAACUUAUGAAAAGAAAAUAGAGAGAAAAAUUAAAAGAAAAGAAAAAAAUGAAGGAAAAUGAAAAUAAAUAUCAUUUUACUUGUGUCAACUUUUCUAUUUAAAGGUUAAAUUUUUUAAAAAUAUAAAAUUUUCAACUAAUUUUAAUUAUAUUUGAUUUUUUUACUAUUUACUAUAUUAAAACCAAAUAUGAGAAAAUCAUUUUCCUUUAACAAUUUUUUCUUUUUUUAGUGCAUUCUAGGAACCAAACGUAGCCCAAAAAAGUUAGCAAUAACAAUGACGUAAGUAACGCUCUUCUAAGGCCAAGGUAAUAUUGAACACCAAGAUCCCAAUUUCAAUGAAUUAAACAACAAGAAAAAAAAAAAACAAAAAGGGUUUCUCUGAAUUGACAUGGCUAAUAUAUAACAGAAAUAACUUGUAUAAAAGAACUUAAGAUGGAAUUGGAUCGACAACUAUGGGCCAAAUUGAUGUUUGUAAGGUUUAUGAGAUCUUGUGUGGGUUGAUUUUGUCCUAGCCAAGAAGUCUCCUUCCAUGUUUCUAAUUGUUCUUUACCUACAGUGGGUGUACCAAAUAAUAUUUAACAAUAAAUACUUACAUUGUUAAGAUGAAUUUCUAUUCAAAAAGAAAAUCAAUUUUAAAAGUGAAAUGGGUAAAAAUUUAAAAGAUAAAUUUUAAGGUUUUUCACAAGAAGCUAAAUACUUAAAAACAUGAUUUUGAAUGUUAUCAAUCAAUUAUGUUUCUUUCUUUCUUCUUGCCUUUUUUUUUUUGGAAGUUAACUAUCUUUUAGCAGAACUAUCUUCCCCAUCCAAUAUAUUCCAGAACACUAGGUAAAACCCAAAAAUAAUAUUGUUUCAAAAAUAAAAUAAUAUGUAUUUUAAUAAAAGAAUCAUAAAAAAUAAAUAAAUUAUGCCAUAAUCUUAUAAUCAAAAGGACUCAACUUAAAUAUAUGGGUCUAUAAAAAACAUAAAUGACCAUUUAAUCAUAUUUUUAUUUUCAUAUGUUCGUAUUCGAUUCCAAAGAAAGCGUACACAUUAGUAUUUAUGCUUCAGACUUUAAAAGGACAUAAAAAAGUAUUGUAACAUCUAAAAACUUAGACUAUAAAAUUUUUAAAUUUUAGAAAUUUAGAAACAAAGGUUAGAGUACUACAAAGGACCAAAUCUUUAAUUCUAACCAAAUAUAAGGGAAAAAAUUCACAAAUUUACAUCAAUUUUGAACCAAAAAAAAUAAUGCAUUCAAAUGACAUUUGAAUUUCUUAAAUAAGUCUAUAUUUAAAAUUUAUAUGAUGUAAAUAUAGCACCGUAGACUAGAUCAUCAUAAGGCACAACAAAUAGUGCAAAGUCUACGUUAAAUGUACAAAAAUUGGACAUAGACAACUAUUCCAAAAGGGAAUUAGUGCCAUGAACAAAACUCAUAACCAUCAUUAACAGGUAAUUGUUUUUUCCCCGACUCCCUUGUUUAGGGCCUUUAAAUUUUGUGAUUUCGAGGACCUAAACAAGGAAUUUAGUCAAAAUGAAAAAUAGCUUGUGCCAUAGGAUGGUUGUGAAUUUUGGUUUUUGAUGUGAUUCCUUCCUAAAAUGGGUGUCCACGACCAAAUUUGCUAAUUUAAUGUAGAUCCCUUACACUAUCCACUAUGCUUUGUGAUAUCCCAUAGGGCCAUGUAAUCUAAAGCCUUACAAUCUACAUUGAUUAUGCAAAUCAAGAUUGAAACUUCAACUUUCCAAUUAAAAAAAACGAAUCUUCAACUAUCUAAAUUACAAACAAUGCUUACUAAUGAAUAAACAUGAUGUUAGAACUUUACCUUGAGACAUUUUAGAAAAUCACAAUUAAUUUGAAAGCUUCUUGCACUAGUUCAAAGUUGUGGAAGCCUUAUCUGAUUCUUAACCUCAUGCUUUUUACCCCCUCUUAAUUCUUGUGUUAGUAUUGGAUUCUCACAAAACCUAAUACAUGAGUCAAGAAGAACCGUACAUCAUUCUUUUAAAGAAGACCUCAAUUAAUUUCUCAAAUAUAUAUUAAAUGAAUCCUUUAGGAUACACAAAUCUCUAUCUUUGUUAUUCAUAAUCAUUUGAAUGGAAUAUUUUUCUAACUCAAUCAAAGUUGAUGUAAAUUUAUGGCUUCUUUCAUCACAUAUUAGUUUAGAAUUUAAGGUUUGGUCUUUUUUAAUUAUGAAGCCAACCUUUGUUUUAAAUUUUUCAAUAUUUUAUAGUGUAAUUUGUUAGAUGUUUAGGUGAUCAAGUAGUACUUUUAGCAUUCUUCUCCUUUUAAAUUCUAGCGCAUAAAUAUUAGGGUUAAUUUCACUCACACCCUUAAGGUUUGGUGUAAAUACACUUAACCACCAUAGGUUUCAAAUUUCAUCAAUUAGCACCCCUAUAAAUUUAUUUAAUUUAUUUUUUAGAGGGAUUUUAGGUAAAAAAAAUUUAGAUAGGCAUGUUUAACAAUUCUCUAAAAACUAAAUUUAAUAAAUGAAAUACAUUUAUAAGAAUGUUAAUUAACAAAAAAAGUAAAUUUUAUAAAUGAAACAAAUUUAUAGGAGUGUUAAUUGAUGAAAUUUGAAACCAAUGGUGUGGUUUAAUGUUUUUACACUAAUUCAACCUCAAGGAUUGUGAACGGACUUAACCUUAAAUAUUAUUGUGUUUGCUUUCUUCACCAUAGAGUACAAACGUUUAUGAAAAUCAAAAUAUGAUUUAAAUAAUCUUUCAUAUGUUUCAUAAGCCCAUGUAUGUGAGUUGAGGCCUUUGAAUUAAAAUAUUAAGGUCUGAAUUUUGUUUCUAUGGUUUUAUUUUUCAAAAAUAUCUAUUAUUUUAUUUAGGAAUAAAAGAUUUGAAACACUAAUAUUUUUAGAUUUUACCUUAGUGUUUUGGAAUUUAUUUGAUGGGGAAGUUAGUUGUGCAAAAAAUGAAGAAAAAGGGAAAAACAUAAUUGAUUUAUAACAUUAAUUCAAAAUCAUAUUUAGGUCUUUAGCUUCUUGUUGAAUAGCCUUACAAUUCAUCUUCUAGAUUUUCAUCUAUUUCACUUCUAAAAUUAUUUUUUCUUUUUUAAUAUAAAUCUUUCAAUCAUGUACUUAUAUGUUUUUUUUUUAAUUUUUUUUAUGUGGCUCUCCAUCCUUUCCAAAUUUUAAAUUUAUAGCAAUAAUAUUUUAUAUUAACAAAUACAAGCACUAUGCUAAAAAACUUUGGUCUCAUGUGAUUUUGUUUUUAAGAAUUCUCUUACUUCCAUUGUUGUAAAUUAAAAGGGUGUGAUUUUUUUUAAAAAAAAUGUUAUUAAUCUUUACUUGAAUUUCUACAAUUCUCUUUUAGAGAUAUGAAAAGCUUCAUUAUUCUUAUAUUCAACAAGACCAUGACCUUUUGGGUGAUUUCAGGCAACUAGCAAUUGUUACCCAUGCAUAAUUAGAAUCCAAAUUCUGAGACAAAUUGUACAUCACAUUCUACUCUAUUCCCUUUCCACAUAUAUAUAUACAUAUUCUAAUAGUACAUGCACUUAUAAGUUUUUCUUUAUGAAAUUAAAGAUGGUCAAAAGAAUAUUUAUUAUUCAUGGUAUACAUUACAACCCUUAAAUAUAUACAUGACUUUCCAAAGGAUACAUGAACUAUACAAGGUAUACAUACAUCACUCCUAAACAUAACAGUUGAUCAUUUACUACUCUUGAAUUGUAGUAGAAAUUGAUUCUCUCCUAAUAGAAAUAACGCAUGAGAGAUACAUAAAGAAAUUUUUUAUCAGAGAGGGAUUACUCUAUGGAUCAACACAACUCCAAUGUUCGUUGAUGGAGGCAUCAUGAUAGAUCAUAAAUUGAUCAAGGUGGAUAGCUCUUUUAGGAGGUGAGUGCCCAUUCCCUCCUUCCCAAGUUUCCUUGUAGUUCCCUAGCAAAAUGACUCUCCAAUUGGACAAAGGUUAAAAAAGAACCAUUUGUCAGUUGUGUACAAAUUAAGCACAGAAAACCAUGCAUUGAUCGUUGUCAUAAUGCCAUAAUUUUUCUUUGAAAAACUAAGCCAAACAUUUCAUCCAUGACUAAGAUGAAAUUGGACUGAUCAUGAGUCAAAUUGAUGUCUGUUAUGCCUAUGAGAUCUUGCUUCCUUAUUUGCCUUGGCCAAUAUUCCUAGCCAAGAAAAAGAUUAAAAGGACUCAACACUAGAAUUCAUAUAUAAAUCAACGCAUACCCAUCUGUAUCAUUUUUGGAAAUUCACAUAAGAUUUUAUGUCACGUCCCAAAACCCACUUCAAGGGCAUGAUGGUUAUUUCACACCUCAAGCCCAAAUGGUCAAAGUGGAAACGACACAAACAUUCGUAUUGCAACUAGAAAAUUACCAAUUAUCAAAUUCCUAUUUAGAGUAGUAUAACAAAAAUUCUAAAAUUUCCAUAUAACAAUUUUUGAAACUAACACAUUAAACUAAGUGUUGUUGUCCAAAUAACUCCAAACUCAAAUAAUUGUAAUAGAAAAUAAAUUUUAACAUCUAAAUAAUGCUAAAAAUAAAAAGAGUUUUGACAAAAGUCAUAAGAAGCCAAUUUCCCCUCCUAACUGUCACUCCUUACCCGAACUAAGGGUACCUGAAAAGUUAUCAACAAAUGGGGGAUGAGCUCAAAGCCCAAUAAAGAAUAUUAACACAGUUUCAUGGAUCAAAUAUUUUAAUUGUACUUACAAAUAGGAGAUAUAACAUAUACUCUAUUUAUAAAACUUUUGAAUUAAACAUGCUAAUGCAUUUAAAUAGUUCAACAAACAUUUUCAUAUAUAUAAAAAUCAUUUCAUAUCCAUUUAAAAUCAAAUACAUUUCAAUUGUUUUCACUUUGGUUAUCAAAUAUCAAAUAGUGCUCAUUUAAGUGGGACUUUACAAAUAGGUGGCUAGCUUCAAAUGUUUCUUUUAAGGUAGACUAAACCAAACACUACUAGUACUAGUAACUUCUAACCAAACCCCUAGAGGUUGGGGUUCAAAUCAAUUACAUUUCCCACCACAAAAAUGUAAAGGUCAACUAUUAUAUCCCGUUGGCAAGGACCAAAAAGUCAACUAUUAUAUCCUAUUGACAAGGGUCAAACAAACCAUAGUCAAAUUCUUUAUUUUAUUUAUUCUAACUUACAAAAGCAUAAAGUCCCAAGUAUUUUGAUAUAAACAAAAUAAAUGUGAUAACACAUUUUUCCAUACAAAAAUAUAUUUGAUCCAUGCUUAAAAGCAAGAUGAACAAUUACACAUUUCAAACAAAAUAUAUAUAAAUUUUUUUUUUACAAAAUCCAUAUCAAUUUCCCUUACCUCAAAAGAAGUUCUCAAAAGCUUUGGAGAAAAAUAAUUAUGGAAAAUCUACUUUUCACCUAACAAAGUAUAAGAGAAAUAACCAUUACUAUUUAUCUAAAAUUAUGGGUUUGACAAUCCUAAAAUUUUAGGUAUUCAAAUUAAUGUUUUUAAUAAUGAAAGAUAAUUUAAUAUAUUCCUAUUUUAUAAAAAUUAAUAAAUAAAAAUUCAUAUAAAACUUAAAUUUUAUUUUUAAUUUAUUUCUUGGGACACAAUAUAAUUUAAUUAAACUAUAAUUGAUUUCACUAAUUAAAUUUUAUGCUACUUAUUAACUUAAUAUUUGUCAUUAAUCUAAUUAUAAUACUAUAAAUUUAACUAAUUUUUACUUCACCUCAUUUAUUUAUACAUAGUUUAUUCUACCACUUUCAUAUUUUUCAAAUACAACUACCAUAACACUCACACAACUACCAAUAUAAUAUAUAUAUAUAUACCAUCCACCCACUCAUACAUUCCAUGUGCAUGCCUCUUUAUUAUUAUUAAUAUUAUUAUUCUCAUCAUUCUUCAUUCUUCCACACGCACGCUUUUUUUUAUUUAUUUAUGGUCAUUGUGCACACUAUCUCAAAACCUGUUUAUUAUUAUUAUACACUUUUAGAAAUCACCCAAUACAUUGAAAUCUUAUCAUUUUUUCUUUCUAAUAUUUUCCAAUCCCUUAAGCCACAUAUAAUCAUAUAUUUAUUUACUCAUUUAAUUUUUGAAAUGUCAUUGCUUAGAUCUAUUCAUCUAAGAAAAUUUGAAUUUCCCUAUUUUCAUCAAUGGAACAACCUAUAUUCAUAAUUUCAAUAUUUUGACCUAAAAUUUUAAAAUAGAUUAACCCUAGCCUAAAUCGAAAUCUUCCAAAGAUUUUUUUUUUGUUUUCAUCUAAAAACUUAAGAUUUCCCAAUUUCCAACAAUGAAUCAACCCAUAAUCUUAAAUUUCCAAUAUUUUGAUAUUAAAUGAAUUAACAAAAAAAAACUAACCCUAAUCUAAAUUAAAAAAUUUUCAAAGAAUAUUUAGCGUGUUCAAAACUAACUAAUGAAUAUAAUAUAUUAAUUCAGGGUUAGAAUCUUACUUGGAAAAAAUCUGAACUUCAAACUCUGAACCUCUAACCCUUGAGCCUUACGAUUUCCAAUUCUCUAAUUUUGGUUGAUAGGGUUUUCUGAAUAAAGAAGGCAAAAGGAAAACAUAAUUUAUACAUAAGAUUAUUAAUUGUAAAAGGACUCUUUCAUGCUUAAUGAGUUUAAUUAAUUAUAAUUUACUAUUUUGACCUUGGAGUAAAUUUUGGGGUGUUACAUUUUACAUGUAGAGAACCAACCAAGAAAAAAGAUAGAAAGAGAGAGAGAGAGAAAAGGAAGAUUACUGGAUUUUGAUUGAAUGGAAAAUAUUAUCCAACAAAGCAGUGCACUAUAGAGAUGUUUCUAGUUUGACAAAAGUUUUCUAUACCAUGUUAUUAUUUUAGAUCUAGAAGCAGGUUGCUAGUGUUUCAAAUGCUUAGAUUAGUACAAUCAUGAAACAAUCAUGUAAAAAGAUCAAAACUCAUUUCAUGUAAAGAGGAAAAUUUUGUUAUGGAGAGAAAGAGAGACGUGCCUUAUGGGCAAUCAACAACACACUCACAGGACAUCUUAAAGUUCUUUAGUAAAUAAAUGUCCAUUCCCUCAUUUGUUGUUGCAUAAACCAUUGUAACUAAGAGCAAUUAAAAAUUAUAGCAAUAUAAAAUCUUCAUCAAACCCACCAACUUGGUGAGAAAAAAAAAAGAAGCAGAAUCGGGAGUCCUUAGAAACAAACUUUAACAUGAUUUAAAGAUUUUUAUUAAAAAAGAAAAGCAAUUUUAAAAGUGAAAUAGAUAAAAAUCUAAAAGAUGAAUUAUUAGGCUCUUCAAAAAGGAUAUUUUAAAUGAAAUAACAAUUCAAGAAUAUUUAAAGAAACAAAUAAAUGAAAGUUGUUUUUAACCUUGCUAAAUCAUUUAUUUGAUCGACAUUAUCUUCAAAUUUUUCCAUACUCUGCUUCAUCAUCAGUCACUUUCACCUUUAUCUUCACCUUCACCUUCGCCCCUAUAGAGAAGCAUCUCCGAGUGACUCAUGGAAAAAAGAGAUAUAAGGCCCAUUAUAUAUCAUCUCACAAGGUCUUAACAUAGUUAAAGGUUAAUGUUAUAUGGGAAAAAAUCUUGUUCCUAUCAAGCUAAUCUAAUUAUAUCAUGUUUGGAUUAUUAUACUAAAAAACUUUCACUAUAACUUGUCAUUUUCUAUAUUUGGAUUCUUAUAUUUAGAAAACCUUAAUUAUGAGAAAUCCAUAAAAUGGAGUUUUUGGCAACUUUUUUCUUAUUCAUAAUGACAACUCAAACUUCUACAAAAAAUAAAUUAAGGCUAUGUUUGGUUCCUGGAAAGCACUAGGGAAAUAAAAAAAAAUGAGAAGGAAAAUUAUUUUCCCAUGUUUGGUUUUGUUAUAAAAAUUCAAUAGAAAGUUAAAUAUAAUUAAAAUACUUAAUAAAUUUAUAUAUUUUCAAAUAAUUUAAUUUUUAUAUAGAAAAGUCAAAUAAGUGAAAAAAGUUUGCAGUAUAUAAAAAUAAUUUAUUAACUUUAAAUCUUUUUUUUCUUUUCUUCUACUUUUCCUCUCCUCUUUCUUUUUUUGUCCUUUUACUUUUUCUUUUUUUUUUUCCCUUGCAUUUUCUUUCAAACUUUCCGAGAACCGAACGUAGCCUAAAAUGACCUUAUUCAAUUGUUUCCCAUGGCUAUGUUUGGUUUUGAAGAAAAAUUGAAGGAAAACUUGAUGAAAAUAAAAUAGAGAGAAAAAUUAAAAGGAAAGAAAAAAUGGAGGAAAAUAAAAAUUAAUCUCAUUUUACUUGUGUCAACUUUUCUAUAUAAAGGUUAAAUAAUUUAAAAAUAUAAACAUUUUUCAACUAAUUUUAAUUAUAUUUUAUUUUUUUACUAUUUACUAUAUUAAAACCAAAGACGAGAAAAUCAUUUUCCUUUAACAAUUUUUUCUUUUUUUAGUGCUUUCUAGGAACCAAACAUAGCCCAAGAAAGUUAGCAAUAACAAUGACAUAAGUAAUGCUCUUCUAAGGCCAAGGUAAUAUUGAACACCAAGAUCCCAAUUUCAAUGAAUUAAACAACAAGGAAAAAAAAAACAAAAAGGGUUUCUCUAAAUUGACAUGGCUAAUAUAUAACAAAAACAACUUGUGUAAAAGAAAUUAAGAUGGAAUUAGAUCGACAACUAUGGGCCAAAUUGAUAUUUGUAAGCUUUAUGAGAUCCUGUGUGGGUUGAUUGUGUCUUGGCCAAGGAACCUCCUUCCAUGGUUUCUAACUGUUCUUUACCUUCAAUGGGCAUACCAAAUUAAGAUAUUACUUAUGCACUAUGAAACAUAUUUUAACACUAAAUACUUAGAUUGCUAAGAUGAAUUUCUAUUCAAAAAGAAAAUUAAUUUUAAAAGUGAAAUGGGUAAAAAAUCUAAAAGAUGAAUUUUAAGGUUGUUCCCAAGAAGUUGAAGACUUUAAAACACGAUUUUGAAUGUUAUCAAUCAAUUAUGUUUCUUUAAUUCUUCUUGUUUUUUUCAAGUUAAUCAUCAUUUAGUGGAACUAUCUUCUUCAUCCAAUCGAUUCCAAAACAUUCGGUAAAACCUAAAAAUAUUAUUGUUUCAAAUAUUUUAUUUAUAAAUAAAAUAAUAAAUAUUUUAAAAGUAAAAUCAUAAAAAAAAAAGUAAAUAAAUAUUGUGCCAUAAUCUUAUAAUCAAAAGGCCUCAACUAAAACAUAUGGGUCUAUCAAAAGAAUAAAUGACCAUUUAAUCAUAUUUUGUUUUUCAUAUGUUCAUAUUCUAUAGCAAAGAAAACAAACACAUCAAUAUUUUUGUUUCAAACUUGAAAAGGACAUAAAAAAGUGUUGUAAUGUCUAAAAAUUAGAAUACAAAAGUUUCAAAAUUUAGAAAUUUAGAAACAAAGGUGAGAGUACUAUAAAGGACCAAGUAUUUAAUUCUAACCAAAUGUAAGGAAAAAACUCACAAAUUUACAUCAAAUUUGAACCAGAAAAAUAAUGCAUUCAAAUGAUAUUUGAAUUUCAUAAAUUGGACAUAGACAACUAUUCCAAAAGAGAAUUAGUGCAAAGAACAAAACUCAUAAUCAUCAUCAAGGGGCACAUUGUUUUUUCCCUGACUCCCUUGUUUAGGGCCUUCAAAAUUUGUGAUUUUGAGGCCUUAAACAAGGAAUUUAGUCAAAAUUAAAAAUAAGUUGUGUCAUAGGAUGGUUGUGAAUUUUGGUUUUUUAUGUGAUUCCUUCCUACAAUGGGUGUCCAUGACCAAAUUUGCUAAUUUAACCUAGUAUCCACUAUGCUUUGUGAUAUCCCACAGGGCCAUGUAAUCUAAAGCCUAACAAUCUACAUUGAUUAUGCAAAUCAAGAUUAAAACUUCAACUUUCCAAUUAAAAAAGUGAAUCUUCAACUAUCUAAAUUACAAAUAAUGCUUACUAAUAAAUAAGCAUGAUGUUAGAACUUUACCUUCAGCCAUUUUAGAAAAUCACAAUUAAUUCAAAAGCUUUUGGCACUAGUUCAAAGUUGUGGAAGCCCUAGAUGGUUCUUAACCUUAUGCUCUUUUCUCUCUCUUAAUUCUUGUGUUAGUGUUGGAUUCUCACAAAACCUAAUACAUUAGUCGAGAAGAACAGUAUGUCAUUUUUUUAAAGAUGACCUUAAUUAAUUUCUCAAAUAUAUGUUAAAUGAAUCAUUUGGGAUAAGCAAAUCUCAAUCUUUAUUAUUAUUCAUAAUUACAAGGGGGAAUUCAUCACAUUAUCAGAAUUGAAAUUUAAAUUUUAUAAAAGAAAAUACAUAAAUGAAGAGUAAUAUCUACCUACAUUGCAUACGAACCGCCAAGUUGUAAGGCACGUGUACCAUUUUAUUAUAAAGCCACUAAACUUUUUUAAUUGAAACAAAUUAAUUAUCUUGAGUAAAUGGUAAAAAGACAUUAGUCAUCGUUAAUGGAGUUUAAAAAAUAGGAAAAAAAUACCUCAUAGUCAUAUAAAAAAUAAAUAAUUUGAAUAGGAUUAAUUUUUUUUUUUCCCUUUCUUGCACAUGACGCAAAUAAUAAUAAUUUGACUCACAUAUACCAAUGAUGAACACUCAAAUAUGAAUUUUUGAAGUCUUUAUGCUCAUUUUGGUGAUUUUGGUUUGUCAAUUGAGAAAAUUCAAAAUUCAAAAGAAAAAAAGAUUACCCGAUCAAUAUUUAAAACAAAAAUUUUAAAUCUUUGUUAAAAGGAAGAUUGGUCUUUCCAAACUAUUUUUUAUAUCAAUGUUGAAAGACCACCAUACCCUUAAUAUUUAAAUAGCUAAUUUUUUAUAACUAGACUAAGAAUAGUCUUUGCAUGCUAAGAAGACACUAACUAGUGAACUUUAAUUUGUAGAGAGAGAAGGGUACUAGAUCAGUUGAAAAGUCUUAAUGCAAAAAAUUUGUAUCAUGUCAUUGAGAUUGGCAAUAGUUGGGGGAAGACUAAUCUUCCUUUUUUUUUUUUUUAAUAUUGUUUUGAUAUUCUUUUAUUCCCUCAAUAUAACAACCCAAAAUCACUAAAUAGAUAAUAGAUAAGACUUUUAAAAUGUAAUUUUUGAGUUUUCAUCAUUGGCAUGUGUAAGUUAUGUGCACACAAGGAAAAAAAAUAAAAAAUCUACCCUUGGUUAAAUUAUUUUGUUUUCUUUUUAUAUGACUAAAAAUACUUCUUGCUAUUUUUUAAAUGCCAUUAAUGAUGACUAAAAUCUCUUUUACCAUUUAUUCGUGAAAAUUAAUUGUUUUUUAAUUUUUUUAAAAAAAAACCUUGUGAUUUUAUGAUAAAAUGUUAUACCACAUAGUUGAAUUGAAUUUAACAAUCAAAUACAAAGAGUAAGGUUUAGGUUUUUCUCUUAAAUUGUCAUUUGUUUUAAGUAGUUCAUUUUAGGUUAUUUAAUUUGUUUAUGUAAGAGGAAUGCAAUAUAUGUAAGUAGAUAGUACUCCUCAUUUAUGUAUAUUCUUUUCUAAAACUUGAAUUUCAUUUCUAAUAAUUUGACAAAUUUGACCUAAUUCUAUAUAAUAAAGAUUGAGCUUUUGCAUAUCCCAAAGGAUUCAUUAAAUACUUGAGAAAUUAAUUGUGGUCAUCUUUAAAAGAAUUGUGAUUCCUCUCUUGACUCAAGUAUUAGGGUUUGUGAGAAUCCAACACUAACAUAAGAGAUGAGACAAAGUAAAAAAAGCAUAAGGUUAAAUACCUUCUAGGGCUUCCUUAUAUAACUUUGAACUACUGCACGAAGCUUUCAAAUUAAUCUUGAUUUGCCAAAAAUGGCUCAAGGUAAAGUUUUAAUAUUAUGUUUGUCCAUUGCUAAGCAUUGUUUGGAACUUAUAUAGUUGAAAGUCCAUUUUUUAAUUAGAAAGUUGAAGUUUUAAUCUUGAUUUGUACAAUCAGUGUAGAUUGUAUGGCUCUAGAUGAUAUUCUUUUACAAGAUUAUUAAUUGCAAAACAUAGUAGAUGGUGUGGACCUAUGUUAAAGGUAGCAAAUUUGGUCAUGGAUGCCCAUUCUAGAAGGAACUAGAGUAAAGAAGAAAAAAUACAACCAACCCAUUGCAAUGCUGUUUUUCAACCAAAUUCUUUUUUUAACGCCUCAAAAUAAAAAAUAAAAAUAAAAUUAGGCCCUAAACAAUGUAGUUUAGCUAAACAUUGUGCAUCUUACAUAAUUUUUGGUUUUACUCCUAACACUAAUUCCUUUUUGGAAUAUGUGUUUAUGAUCAAUUUUGGUAUGUCUAACCCAAGCUUUGCACCAUUUAUUGUGCCUUUUGAUGAUCUUGCAUGCCAUAUUGUCUAGGUUCUUGCAAUAUACAUCAUAUAGAUUGUAUAUAUAGAAUCAUUUAAGAAAUUCAAAUAUCAUUUGAAUGCAAUAUUUUUCUAACUCAAUCAAAGUUGAUGUAAAUUUAUGAUUUCUUUCAUCACAUAUUUGAUUAGAGUUUAAGGUUUGGUCUCUUUUAAUUAUGAAGUAAACCUUUGUUUUUAAAUUUUCAAAAUUUUAUAGUGUAAUUUUUUUAGAUGUUUAGGUGAUCAAGUAGUACUUUUAGUGUUCUUUUCCUUUUAAAUUCUAGUGCAUAAAUAUUAGGGUUAAUUUCACUCACACCCCUAAGGUUUAGUGUAAAUGCACCUAAGCACCAUAGAUUUCAAAUUUCGUCAAUUAGCACCCCUUUAAAUUUAUUUUAUUUAUUUCAUUUAUUUUUUAGAGGAAUUUUAAGUAAAAAAAAAAAGAUUUUAGAUAGGUGUGUUUAACAAUUCUCUAAAAAAUAAAGUUUAUAUAUGAAAUACAUUUAUAAGACUGCUAAUUGAUAAAAAAAAAUAAAUUUUAUAAAUGAAACAAAUUUAUAAGGACGUAAUUAAUGAAAUUUGAACCAAUGGUGUGGUUUAGUGUUUUUACACUAAAUUAACCUCCAGAAUUGUGAAUGAACUUAACCUUAAAUAUUAUUUAGUUUGCUUUAUUCACCAUAGAGUACAAACAUUUCUGAAAAUCAAAAUAUGAUUAAAUAAUUUUUUAUUUGUUUCAUAAGCCCAUGUAUUUGAGUUGAGGCCUUUAAAGUAAAAUAUUAAGGUCUAAAUUUGGUUUCUAUUGUUUUAUUUUUGAAAUAUCUAUUAUUUUAUUUAGGACUAAAAGAUUUGAAACACUAAUACUUUUAGGUUUUACCUUAGUGUUUUGGAAUUUAUUUGAUGGGGAUGUUAGUUGUGCUAAAGAAUAAGCAAAAACAAAAAAACAUAUAUAAUUGAUUUAUAACAUUAAAUCAAAAUAAUUUUAGGUCUAUUGGUUCUUGGUGAAUAGCCUUACAAUUAAUCUAUUUGAUUUUUAAAAUUAAAUUUUCUUUUUUAAUAGAAAUCUUUCAAUCAUGCACGUAAAUGUUUUUUUUUUUUCUUUCUAGCUCUCCAUCUUUUUCAAAUUUUAAAUUAAUAGCUAUAAUAUUUUAUAUUAACAAAUGUAAGCAAUGUGAUGAUAAAAAACUUUGGUCUCAUGUGAUUUUGCUUUUAAGAAUUCUCUGGUCUCCAUUGUUGUAAGUUGAAGGGUGUAAUUAUUUAUUUUUUUUAAAAAUACUAUUAAUCUUUACUUGAUUUCUUCAAUUCUUGUUUAGAGAUGUGAAAAGCUUCAUUAUUCUUAUAUUCGACAAGACCACGACCAUUUGGGUGAUUUCAAGCAACUAGCAAUUGUUAACUAAUGCAUAAUUAGAACCCAAAUACUAAGAUAAAUUGUACAUCACAUGCUGCUCUUUUCCCUUUAUACAUAUAUAUUCUCUAAUGGUACAUGCGCUUAUUUGUUUUGCUUUAUGAAAGUAAAGUGAGGUAAAUGGAUGAAUGGUAAAAAAAAUGUAUAUUAUUCAUGGUAUACAUUACAACCCUUAAAAAUAUACAUGACUUUCCAAAGGAUACAUGAACUAUAUAUAUAAGGUAUAAAUACAUCAAUCCUAAAUAUAAUAAUUGAUCAUUAACUAAUCUUGAAUUGUGGGAGAAAUUGAUUCUCUCCUAAUAGAAAUAAUGCAUUAGAGAUACACAAAGAAAUUUCUGAUCAGUCAUACUGGGAGGGAAUACUCUAUGUGAUCAACACAACUCCAAAUUUUGUUGAUGGAGGCCUCGUGGUGGAUGUGACACUCCUUCGUUCAAAGAUUGAACCUUUGUUGCAUGAAGAACAAAGAUGAAUUCAUCAUAACACUUUUUGGACGUGAUUGUCCAUUCCCUCCUUCCCAAGUUUCCUUGUAGUAUAGUUGAACCCUUUUGUCCUUGGGGCCAGCCCCUAAUUAAUGCAGCUUUUCCACUUCUUUUUUCGUUGUCCUCUUGCAGAAUGACUCUCAAACUGGGUAGGAAUCAAUUUGUCUGUUAUAUAAAAUAAAAUAAAACAAGUUAUGUACAAAUUAAGCACAAACAAAUCAUGCAUUGAUCCUUAUCAUAAUGUCAUAAUUUUGCUGUGAAAAACUAAGCCAAACAUUGAUCCAUGACAAAGAUGGAAUUGGACUGACCAUUGGUCAAAUUGAUGUCAGUUAUGCCAGUGAGAUCUUGCUUCUUUAACAACCCUGACAAAUAUUCCUAGCCAAGAAAAAGAAAAAAAAUAACUCAACACAAGAAUUCAUAUAUAAAUUAACUCAUACCCAUAAGAUUUUACAUGUAGAGAACCAACCAAGAAAAAAGAAAAAAAGAAAAUGAAGCAUAGUUUAAUCAUGGAGAACAACAAUCAACAAGAUUCAUACAAAAGGCAAUAUUUUCUAGCAGAUUUCACUGAAGAUUGUUGGAUUUUGAUUAGAUCGAAAAUAUUGUCCAACAAAGUAGUGUAUGGUAGAGAUGUUUCUAGUCUGACAACUUUUCUAUGCCAUGUUAUUAUUUCAGAUCUAGAAGCAAGUUGCUAGUGUUUCAAUUACUUAGAUCAGUAAAAUCAUGAAACAAACAUGUAUAAAGAUCAAAACCCAUUUCAUAUAAAGAGGAAAAACUUGUGAUGGAGAGAAAGAGAGACGUGCCUUAUGAGUGGAGCUCUUAAAGUUCUUCUUCAAUAAUUAUCUGUUCAUUCUCAUUUGUUGCUGCAUCAACCACUGUAACUAAGAGCAAUUAGAAACAAUAGCAAUAUAAAAUCUUCAUCAAACCCACCGACUUGGCGAGAAACAAAAAAGAAAAAAAAAGGAAGAAAAAGAAGCAGAACGGGGAGUCCUUAGAAACAAACUUUGUACUAAACUCAUCCAUGACGUCCGCAAAUACAUAUAUCAUUACAAAAUGUGUAGAAAGGGAAGAGUAGCAUUAGUUAAUAGUCAGCUAGUUUCAUGAAAUAACACCAAAGAGCAUUCAAUAAAAUAAAAUAUUACUACUAUUAGUGUAAAUUUUGAAAAGGGUAAACAACCCAAAAAAAAAAAAAAAGCAUUUAACAUGAUUUAAAGAUUUCUAUUAAAAAAGAAAACCAAUUUUAAAAGUGAAAUAGAUAGAAAUCUAAAUGAUGAAUUAUAAGGCUCUUCAAAAAGGAUAUUUUAAACUAAAGAACAAUUCAAAAAUUAAUGAAAUAGAUAAAUGAAAGUUGUUUUUAACCUUGCUAAAUCAUUGAUUCGAUUGACAUUAUCUUCAAUUUUUUCAUACUUUGCUUUAUCAUCAUAGUCACUAUCACAUUUGCCUCUAUAGAGAAGCAUCUCCGAGUGACUCAUGGAAACAAGAGAUAGAAGGCCCAUUAUAUAUUAUCUCAAAAGGUCUUAACAUAGUUAAAGGCUAAUGUUGUAUGGGAAAAAAUCUUGUUCUUAUCAAAUCCCUAAUUAUAUCAUGUUUGGAUUAUUUAUUAAAAAAUUUCACUAUGAUUUGUCAUUUUCUAUAUUUGGAUUCUUAUAUUUAGAAAACUUUAAUUAUGAUAAAUCCACAAAAGGGAAUUUUUGGCAAUUUUUUUCCUAUUCAUAAUGAUAGCUCAAACUUCUACAAAAAAUUAAGGCUAUGUUUGGUUCCUGGAAAGUACAAAGGAAAUAAUAAAAAUGAUAAGGAAAAUUAUUUUCUCAAAUUUGGUUUUACUAUGAAAAUGUGAUAGAAAGUCAAAUAUAAUUAAAAUAAUUAAUAAAUUUAUAUAUUGUCAAAUUAUUUAAUUUUUAUAUCGAAAAGUCAAAUAAGUAAAAAAAGUUUGAAGUAGUAUAUAAAAAUAAUUUAUUAACUUUAAAUCUAUUUCUUUCUUCUUCUUUUUUUCAUUCUUUUCUUUCCUUUUACUUUUCCUCUUUAUAUUUAUUUUUUCCUUCUACUCUUUUUCUUUAUUUUCUUUCCCUUGCAUUUUCUUUUAAACUUUUCGAGAACCAAACAUAGCCUAAAAUAACCUUAUUCAAUUGUUUCCUAUGACUAAGUUUGGUUUUCAAAAAAAUUGAGGGAAAACAUGAUGAAAAUACAAUAAAGAGAAAAAUUAAAAGGAAAGAAAAAUUAAGGAAAAUAAAAAUAAAUCUCAUCUUAUUUGUGUCAACUUUUCUAUAUAAAGGUUAAAUAAUUUAAAUAUAUCUAAAUUUCCAAUUAAUUUUAAUUAUUAUUAUUAUUUUUUACUAUUUUCUAUAUUAAAACCAAACAUGAGAAAAUCAUUUUCCUUAACAUUUUCUUUCUUUCUUUGAUACCUUAUAGGACCAAACAUAGCCUAAGAAAAUUGGCAAUAACAAUGACAUAAGUAUUCUUCCAAGGCCAAGCUAAUAUUGAACACCAAGAUCCUAGUUUCAAUGAAAUAAAUAACAAGAAAAAAAACAACUUGUAUAAAAUUAAGAAAUUAAAAUGGAAUUGGAUCGACAACUAUAGGCCAAAUUGAUGUUUGUAAAGUCUAUGAGAUCUUGUGUGGGUUGAUUUUGUCCUGGCCAAGAAGUCUCCUUCCAUGUUUCUAACUACUUUUUACUUACAGUGGGUGUACCAAAAUAAUAUUUAACACUAAAUACUUAGAUUGUUAAGAUGAAUUUCUAUUCAAAAAGAAAAUUAAUUUUAAAGGUGAAAUGGGUAAAAAUCUAAAAAAUGAAUUUUAUGGUUGUUCACAAGAAGCUAAAGACUUUAAAACAUGAUUUUGAAUGUUAUCAAUCAAUUAUGUUUCUUGUUUUUUUUUUUUUUUUUCUAAGUUCACCAUCUUUUAGCAGAACUAUCUUCCUCAUCCAAUAGAUUCCAAAACACUAGGUAAACCAAAAAAUAUUAUUGUUUCAAAUAUUUUAUUUAUAAAUAAAAUAAUAAAUAUUUUAAAAGUAGAAUCACAAAAUAAAUAAAUAAAUAAAAUUGCGCCAUAACCUUAUAAUCAAAAGGCCUCAACUUAUAUAUAUGGGUCUAUCAAAAACAGAAAUGGGUCUAUCAAAAACAUAAAUGACCAUUUGAUCAUAUUUUGAUUUUCAUAUGUUCAUAUCCUAUUGCAAAGAAAACAAACACAUUAGUAUUUAUGCUUCAAACUUUAAAAGGACAUAAAAAAAAGUAUUGUAACAUCUAAAAAAUUAGACUAUAAAAAACUCCAACUCAGCCAGCAUACAAUCCAUGCCAAAGCAGAAUCUCUACGUGAGAAGUUGAUAAUGCAAUCUACCAGCAAAGAAAACUACUCUCUAUAUUUGUAAUGUGGAAAAUCAAGGCUAGAAGGAAAUCUUCACUUACAUGUUCUAUAUAAUAUUCCUUUUUUUGUGUAAAGAAGGUAUGUAUUGUUUUUAUUUAUUUUUUUAGAAAACAAUUAGUAAGGUUUGGUGCAAAUUCAAUCUUUCAAAAAUAGUUUAUGUUCUUCGUGGUAUUAGAGCCGGUUAACCUAAAACAAUCCAAAGCUUCCAUGGCAACCCCAUAAAAUGUUCUUAGCAUUCAGGCUUUUCAUCAAUGCUCAAGCCUCGUCUCCAUUAAACUAAAUAUGUCCAAUCUCCUUUUGUGGCACUCACAAGUUCUUCCUCUUGUGUGAAGCCUUGGAUUAGUCCAUCAUCUCUCUGAAAAUAGCCACGCAUCAAAUGAGAUAAUGGAUACUAAAACAAAGGAGACCCAUGAUUAGUCAAUAAAGACAUGGUCUCACAAUGAUGGUCUACUUACCUCCUAGCUUCUUAGACUCAUGAUAGAAGAAAUGAUGUUUUUGUUGGAUGGAACAGAGACUGCCUAUGAUGUUUGAAACUCCCUAGAAGAAAAGCUCUUUCCAAUGACCAAAGAGAAGGAGGUGCAAUUGACCAAUAAACUCUGAAGGCUGAAGAAAGGCACAAUGAAUAUCUAAGGGAGUUCAAAGGCAUUUGUGAUGCAUUAGUUGCAGUUAGAAAACCAGUAAGUGACCUAGACAAAGUUUUUCAACUAGCUCAAGAUCUUGGAACUAAAUACAUGGAUUUUCAGGUGGCCAUGUAACCAAAGCCACCGUAUCCCUCUUACAAUCAAUUUGUUUUGGAUCUACAAAGACAUGAACAAAUGAUUAUGACAAGAAAUGAAGAUAACAAGGAGUCAAUAAACCAUGAACAAUCCUAUCUUACCCAACGAGGAAGAGGAAGAAAUCGAGGAGGAAGAUUUCUUUCUAGAGGUCGUGGCUUCACUCCAACAGGAUAAUUCAAUCACAAUGCUACCAAUGACCAAAGGCAGAAUGUUCAUCCUAGCACCAGAAAUCUAAGAAAUAGCUUCAACAACCAGCUUCCACCACAACAGAAACUCCAAAAAUCUGAAGGUACUCUUAUUUGGAAAAUUUGUAAUAAAUCUAACCAUUCAGCUUUGGAUUGUUGGAAUAGAUUCGACUAUUCGUAUCAAUCAGAAGAGAUUCCUCAAGCUUUGGCUUCUAUGGCUCUAAAUGAAGAAGAUAAGGAUCCUAAUUUUUAUGUGGACUCGGGGGCAACAACCUAUAUAACAAAUGACCCAGGUAAGAUGUCCCACAUAAUUCCAUAUAAAGGGCAUGAUGCAAUUUUUGUUAGAAAUGGAGAAGCUUUACGAAUCUCACAUAUUGGUGAAGCUAGACUAAAAACUAAACAUAGAGAUCUAAAGCUUAAAAAAUUAUUGGUUGCUACAGAAUUAAGAAAAGUUUGUUAUCCAUUGGAUAACUUAUCUCUGAUAACCCAUGCUCCAUAGAAUUCUCAUCAACUGGUUUUGUCAUUAAGGAUCAACUUCAACAAGUGUUAGCCAAAGGAACUAAAAAGGGAAGUCUCUAUGCAUUGGAGGAAAAUGUGAUUCAAGCCAUGAUAGUUACUAGGUCUAGCAAGGCAUCAUCAGAAGUGUGGCAUCAAUGUAUGGGGCAUCCGCAAACAAAAUCUAUAAAGCUUCUGCAAGAUAAGAAUUUCAUCGAAGUAUCUAGUUGGAUGAAAUCAACAACAGUACGUGUUAGUUAUCAGUUAGGAAAAAGCUAUAAACUUUCUUUUGGCUUAAUAAAUAAAAUUUCCAACAAUCCUCUUCACAAAAUUCAUUGUGACUUAUGGGGACCUGCACCAACUAAUUCAACUCAAGGAUACAAGUAUUAUGUUGUCUUUAUUGAUGAUCAUACUCGCUAUACAUGGCUUUAUCCCUUGAGAAGAAAAUCAUAUUUCUUUGAAUGUUUUUUGAAGUUUCAAAAUUUGGUUGAGAAUCAACUUGAAAGACAGAUAAAAAUCUUCCAAAGUGAUGGUGGAGGUGAGUUUCAAUCAAUUAAAUUUCAAAAUCACCUAAGCAAGUGUGGAAUUUUGCAACCAGUCUCAUGCCCAGGAACUCUAGAACAAAAUGGGGUUGUAGAGAGAAAACAUGGACAUAUUGUUGAAAUGGGUCUAACAAUGCUUUUUAAUGCCAAACUAUCAUUGAGUCUAUGGGUAGACACAUUCCUUACUGUUGUAUACCUCAUUAACCAGUUGCCUUGCACGAUGUUGAAAAUGGAGAGCCCAUUCUUUAUGCUCUUCAAACAAUAUCCAUAAUAUAGGAGCUUGAGAAUUUUUGGUUGUUAGUGUUUUCCAUACCUUACUACGAGAAGAAUAAAUUCUCACCUAAGACAUAUCCAUAUGUUUUUAUUGGAUAUAUCUCUCUACACAAGGGUUAUAGAUGCUUGCAUCCUUCAACUAAAAGAGUUUACAUAUCUCGUCAUGUCAUCUUCAAUGAAAAUUGCUUUUCUUAUGCUAACUCUCUUGUUAAGAAAAAUCAUUUAUAGAUUCCUAUAGAAAUGGUAUCAUUCUCAACUUCAGAUGCUUCUUGUGAGACUUCAAAAAUAGAUCACCAAACUAAGUCUUAGAAUGAGAACACUACUAACCGAUCAAGCAACUCCAAGAAGUGCAACAACUGUCCAUGCACUAUUGAGCAAAGAAACCAAUUUAGUGUAGAAGGAAGAAUUUUUGCUAGUUGCAAUACUAACCAAAAUACAAAAGCAUCAUGUGUUAAUCUGAUUGGAACUCCUACUACUAUUGCUGCUAAAAUUUCCACUAUUACUGUUAGUACAAAUGACCACAAUACCGUCAAUACUACUAAAACUCCCAUUGAUGUUGCUCUUGGUGCUAGUGGCCACAAUUCCAACAUUGCUACUACUACUGGAAUACUCUCCCAGAUUGAGUCUACUAGUAGCUACAAGCUUUCCAUUGUUAAUAAUUUUCCUGAUAUCAGUAAGCACCUAGUAGUUGAUUUCUCUUUUCCUAAAAAAUGGUAGAAAAAUGAGCAUGUUGGUCCACCUCUGCAAAACAAAUCAACCAAUCACAGUGUUGAUGAUGAAGUUCCUGAUAUUAGCAAGCAAGUUGUUGUUGACAUCUUUUCUCCUCAGGUUCAACACACAAAUAACAAAGGAACUCAUAUGAUCACCAGAAGUAAACUCAAGAAUGAUUCUAGUUUAAAGUCUCAAAUGGUUACUUUUGCUGCCACGAGAAGUAAUAUUAGUGAGCCAAAAACAUAUCGUACAACAUUGAAAAUUCCCCAUUGGUUCAAAGUAAUGCAAGAGGAAAUCAAGGCUUUAAUCUAAAAUCGAACAUAGGAUUUGAUUCCUAGGCUUCCAACUACAAAUAUUGAGGGUUCUAAAUGGGUGUUUAAAACAAAGCUGAAGGAAGAUGGAACCAUAGAUAGAUACAAAGCACGAUUAGUUGCUCAAGGUUUUUCUCAAAUACCGGGUUUGGACUUUAGAGAGACCUUCAGCCCAAUUAUAAAGCAUACUAUAAUCAGAUUGAUCCUUUCACUAGCAGUAACCUUGGGGUGGACAAUGGGGCAAUUGGAUGUUAAGAAAGCCUUCAUACAUAGGUUUCUAAAGGAAGAAGUAUUCAUGGAACAACCUCCAAGAUUUAUAAAUGAAGACCUUUCGAAUCAUGUCCGCAAAUUGAAUCGCUCUCUUUGUGGCCUUAAGCAAGCUCCAAGGGGCCUGGUUUGAUAGACUAUCCCAACGUCUUCUUCAUCUGGGGUUUUACUGUGGUAAGGCAGACUCGUCUCUAUUUAUUCUUCACAAAGGUCAGUCUAUUGUUUUACUCCUUAUCUAUGUUGAUGAUAUUAUAAUCACAGGCAAUGAUAAGAACUUCAUUAGUGACCUCAUUAACACCCUGAGUAGUGAAUUUUCUCCCAAGGACUUAAGAUCUUUACAUUAUUUUUUGGGAUUGAAGGUUAAAUAUCUUCCUAAUGGGUCGUUUGUUUCUCAAAUAAAGUACACUAGAGAUCUCCUAGAGCACACAAAAAUGGAGUAUACUCAUACCAACACACCCAAGGCUCUUAAGUCCAUUAUCAUACCUUCUGAUGAACAACCUAUUGAUCCUACAAGAUAUAGGAAACUCGUUGGAUCCCUCCAAUAUUUAACCUUCACAAGGCUUGAUAUUGUGCAUGAAGUAAACAAGGCCUGCCAACAUUUCCAAGCACCCACUAAAGUUUACUUGCGAGCUAUCAAACGCAUCCUUAGAUAUUUGAAGGGAACAAUGGAGCAUGGAAUCAAGGUUUUCAAGUAAAGUUCGCUUCAUCUCACUAGUUGAUUGGGCAAGAUGCACAAACACAAGAAGAAGCUCAAUAUUUUAUUUUUUAGGAGCUAAUUGUAUCUCAUGGUCCUCAAAGCGACAACCUACAGUUUCUAGAUCAAGCACCGAGGUCGAAUAUCGAUCCCUUGCAUCCAGUGCCACAAAAAUAACUUGGCUUACUUUCCUUCUCCAUGAUAUUGGCAUUCAACUACGUGAACCUCCUCAAUUGCUAUGCGAUAACCUCAGUGUCCUUCACAUGAUAGUAAAUCUCGUCUUCCCUGCACGUUCCAAGCAUAUUGAGUUGGACCAUCAUUUUGUUCGGGAAAAAGUUGCAAGUGGAGUAUUGAUUACUCGUUUCCUUCCAUCAUCCUUACAAGUAGUUGAUAUAUUCACAAAGGCACUCCCUAAGACUUCAUUCCAAGUCUUUCGAUUCAAGCUAGGAGUGCACAAGUUACCACUCACUAGCUUGCGGGGGGCUGAUAAAGGAAACUCCAACUCAGCCAGCAUACAAUCCAUGAUAAAGCAGAAUCUUUAUGUGAGAAGUUGAUAGUGCAAUCUGGCAAGAAGGAAAACUACUGUCCAUAUUUGUAAUGUGAAAAAUCAAGGUUAGAAGGAAAUCUUCACUUACCUGUUCUGUAUAAUAUUCCCUUUUUUGUGUAAAGAAAGUAUGUAUUGUUUUUAUUUUUAUUUUUUUUAGAAAACAAUUAGUAAGGUGUGGUGCAAAUUCAACCUUUCAAAAAUAGUUUAUGUUCUUUAGGACCAAAUCUAUAAUUCUAACCAAAUGUAGGGAAAAAAAUUCACAAAUUUAUAUCAAAUUUGAGCCAAAAAAAUAAUGCAUUCAAAUGACAUUUGAAUUUCUUAAAUAAGUCUAUAUUUAAAAUUUAUAUGAUGUAAAUUGUAGCACCAUAGGCUAGAUCAUCAUAAGGCACAAUAAAUAGUGCAAAGUCUACAUUAAAUGUACAAAAAUUGGACAUAGACAACUAUUCCAAAAGACGAUUAGUGUAGGAAACAAAACUCAUAACCAUCAUCAAGAGACACAUUGUUUUUUCCCCAACUCCCUUGUUUAUGGCCUUCAAAAUUUGUGAUUUUGAGGCCCUAAACAAGGAAUUUAGUCAAAAUGAAAAAUAGCUUGUGCCAUAGGAUGGUUGUGAAUUUUGGUUUUUGAUGUGAUUCCCUCCUAAAAUGGGUGCCCAUUACCAAAUUUGCUAAUUUAACCUAGAUCCCUUACACUUUCCACUAUAUUUUGUGAUAUCCCAUAGGGCCAUGUAAUUUAAAGCCUUAUAAUCUACAUUGAUUAUGUAAAUCAAGAUUGAAACUUCAACUUUCCAAUUGACAAAAUGAAUCUUCAACUAUCUAAAUUACAAACAAUGCUUACUAAUGAAUAAACAUGAUGUUUGAACUUUACCUUAAGCCAUUUUAGAAAAUCAAAAUUAAUUCAAAAGCUUCUUGCACUAGUUCAAAGUUGUGCAAGCUCUAAAUGAUUUUUUUAACUUUAUGCUUUUUACUCCCUCUUAAUUCUUGUUUCAGUGUUGGAUUCUCACAAAACCUAAUACAUAAGUCAAGAAGAACUAUACGUCAUUCUUUUAAAGAAGACUUCAAUUAAUUUCUCAAAUAUAUAUUAAAUGAAUCCUUUGGGAUGCACAAAUCUUAAUCUUUAUUAUUCAUAAUCAUUCGAAUGCAAUCUUUUUAUAACUUAAUCAAAGUUGAUAUAAAUUUAUGAUUUCUUUAAUCACAUAGUUGGUUAGAGUUUUAAGGUUUGGUCUCUUUUAAUCAUGAAGUCAACCUUUGUUUAAUUUUGUAAUUUUUUUAGAUGUUUAGGUGAUCAAGUAGUACUUUUAGUGUUCUUUUCCUUUAAAAUUCUAGUGCAUAAAUAUUAGGGUUAAUUUCACUCACACCCUUAAGGUUCGGUAUAAAUACACCUAACCGCCAUAAGUUUCAAAUUUCAUCAAUUAGCACCCUAUAAAUUUAUUUUAUUUAUUUCAUUUACUUUUUAGAGGAAUUUUAAGUAAAAAGAUUUUAGAUAGACACCGUUUAACAAUUCUCUAAAAAAAUAUAUUUUAAAUAUGAGAUACAUUUAUAAGAAUGAUAAUUGACGGUUUUUUUUUGUUUUUUUAUAAAUGAAACAAAUUUAUAAGGGUGUUAAUUUAUGAAAUUUGAAACCAAUGGUGUUGUUUAGUGUUUUUCCACUAAAUUAACCUCAAGGAUUGUGAACGAACUUAACCUUAAAUAUUAUUGUGUUUGCUUUCUUCACCAUAGAGCACAAACAUUUAUGAAAAUCAAAAUAUGAUUAAAUAAUCUUUUAUUUGUUUCAUAAGCCCAUGUAUUUGAGUUGAGGCCUUUGAAUUAAAAUAUUAAGGUCCAAAUUUUGUUUCUAUGGUUUUACUUUUCAAAUAUCUAUUAUUUUAUUUAGGAAUAAAAGAUUUGAAACACUAAUAUUUUUAGGUUUUUCCUUAGUGUUUUGGAAUUUAUUUGAUAGGGAAGUUAGUUGUGCUAAAAAAUGAAGAAAAAGGGAAAAUCAUAAUUAAUUUAUAAUAUUAAUUAAUUCAAAAUCAUAUUUAGGUCUUUAGCUUCUUGUUGAAUAGCCUUACAAUUCAUCUUCUAGAUUUUCAUCUAUUUCACUUUUAAAAUUAAUUUUUCUUUUUUAAUAGAAAUCUUUCAAUCAUGUGCUUAAAUGGUUUUUUUUUUUUUGGCUCUCCGUCCUUUCCAAAUUUUAAAUUAAUAGCAAUAGUAUUUUAUAUUAACAAAUACAUGCACUAUGCUAAAAAAAAUUGGUCUCAUGUGAUUUUGCUUUUAAGAAUUCUCUUAUUUCCAUUUUUGUAAUUAAAAGGGUGUGAUUAUUUUAAAAAAAAUGCUAUUAAUCUUUUCUUGAAUUUCUAUAAUUCUUUUUUAGAGAUAUGAAAAGCUUCAUUAUUCUUAUAUUCAACAAGAUCAUGACCUUUUGGGUGAUUUUAAGCAACUAGCAAUUGUUAACAAUGCAUAAUUAGAACCCAAAUUCUAAGACAAAUUGUACAUCACAUAUUGCUCUCUUCCCUUUCUACAUAUAUAUUCUCUAAUAGUACAUGCACUUAUAAUUUCUGUUUUAUGAAAUUAAAGAGGUAAAUGGAUGAAUAGUCAAAAGAAUGUAUAUUAUUCAUUGGAUACAUUACAACUCUUAAAUAUAUACAUGACUUUCCAAAGGAUAUAUGAACUAUACAAGGUAUACAUACAUCACUCCUAAACAUAACAAUUGAUCAUUAACUACUCUUAAAUUGUAGGAGAAAUUGAUUCUCUCCUAAUAGAAAUAAUGCAUUAGAGAUACACAGAAGUUUCUAAUCAGUCAUAUUGAGAGGGAUUACUCUAUGGAUCAACACAACUCCAAUGUUCGUUGAUGGAGGCAUCAUGAAGGAUCAUAAAUUGAUCAAGGUGGAUAGCACUUUUAGGACGUGAGUGCCCAUUCCCUCCUUCCCAAAUUUCCUUGUAGUUUCCUAGUAGAAUGACUCUCCAGCUGGGCAGAAGUUGAUUUGUCCAAUUACAAAACAACCAUUUAUCAGUUAUGUACAAAUUAAGUAUAGAAAAAUCAUGCAUUGAUCCUUAUCAUAAUGUCAUAAUUUUGCUUCGAAAAACUAAGCCAAACAUUUGAUCCAUGACUAGGAUGAAAUUGGACUGACCAUGAUUCAAAUUGAUGUCCAUUAUGCUUGUGAGAUCUUGCUUCCUUAUUUGCCCUGGCCAAUAUUCUUGGCCAAGAAAAAGAACAAAAAGGUCUCAACACUAGAAUUCAUAUAUAAAUCAACACAUACCCAUAUGUAUCAUUUUUGGAAAUUCACAUAAGAUUUUAAAUGUAGAGAACCAACCAAGAAAAGAGAGAGAAAAAGAGAGAAAAAGAAGAUUGCUGGAUUUUGAUCAGAUGGAAAAUAUUAUCCAACAAAGCAGUGUACUGUAGAGAUGUUUCUAGUUUGACAAAUGUUUUCUAUGCCAUGCUAUUAUUUCAAAUCUAGAAGCAGGUUGCUAGUGUUUCAAUGCUUAGAUCAGUAAAAUCAUGAAACAAGCAUGUAUAAAGAUCAAAAACAAUUUCAUAUAGAGGAAAAACUUGUGAUGGAGAGAAAGAGAGGCGUACGUGCCUUAUGAGCAACCAGCAACACACUCACAGGAGAUCUUUAAGUUCUGCUUCAGUAAAUAUCCGUUCAUUCUCAUUUGUGCCUGCAUCAACCACUGUAACAAAGAGCAAUUAAAAACAAUAGAAAUAUACAAUCUUCCAAUUUUGCUAUAAAGAAAAUCAUCUAUAACCCAUUGUAGAGUUCACUUGGUGAGAAAUAAAAAGGAAGAAGAGGCAGUCCUCAAAAACAAAUUUUGUACUAAACUCAUCCAUGACGUCCGUAAGUACAUGUAUCGUUACAGAAUAUGUAGAAAGGGAAAAGCAGCAUUUACUGAAAUAAAAUAUUACUGCUAUUGAUUUAAAAUUUGAAAAGGGUAAACAACCCAAAAACAUUUAACAUGAUCUAAAGAUUUCUAUUCAAAAAGAAAACUAAUUUUAAAAGUGAAAUAGGUAAAAAUUUAAAUGAUGAAUUAUAAUGCUCUUCAAAAAGGAUAUUUGAGAAGAAAUAACAAUUGAAAAAAAAAAUAUAGAUAAAUGAAAGUUGCUUUUACCCUUGCUAAAUCAUUGAUUUGAUCAAUAUUAUCUUGAAUUCUUUCAUACUCUCCUUCAUCAUCACAAUUACUUUUACCUUUAUUUCACCUUCACCUUCACCUUUACAAAGAAGCAUCUUCAAGUGACUCAUGGCAACGAGAUAUAAGGUCCAUUAUAUAUUAUCUCACAAAGUCUUAAUAUCUCACAAAGUCUUAACAUCGUUAAAGUUUAAUGUUUUAUGGGAAAAAAAAUCCCAUUCCUAUCUAUUCCAAUCUAAUUAUACCAUGUUUGGAUUAUUAUAUUAAAAAAAUUUCCCAAUGAUUUGUCAUUUUCCAUAUUUGGAUUCGUAUAUUUAGAAAACGUUAAUUAUGAUAAAUCCAUAAAAGAUAAUUUUUGGCAACUUUUUUCCUAUUCAUAAUGAUAGCUCAAAUAUUUAAGAAAAAUUAAGGCUAUAUUUGGUUCCCCGAAAGUAUUAGGGAAAGAAAAAAGUGGAAAAUGAUUUUUUUCAUAUUUAGUUUUACGAUCAAAAAAAUGCAUAGAAAGUCAAUUAUUAGAUUAUGGACACCAAAUUUUGGGAAGGUUUCAUGUAGUAGAUAGUAGGUCAUGAACUUAAAAAAUUGAUUAAAUUCAAUUUAAUCAAUUUUCAUCUCAAUAUAAUUCCAUAAUGUAUUGGAGUGCAGUUGAUUCUUGAGAAAAUAAAGGCUAAUCUUAAUAUGGAAAGCACCCAAGAGGGAGGGUGAAUUAGGUUUUAAAAAAUCUUUUUCAAAUACAAUAAAUUCAAGCAAAGGAAACACAAAUAUAAAAAGAUAAGGUUAGAGAAAGUAAACUUAGAUUUUAUAGUGAUUUGACACCCCUUGCCUAUGUCCACUCUCUUUAAAACUACUAACCGAGUGAGGGUUCCGCUAUACUUGAAGUUUCAACCAAGCUUCCAACACCUUUACACUUGGAUUUCGACUCCAAUGAGCUCUUACACAAUCCCUUCAAGUCUUUGCUCACUUGAAGCUUUUAACACUCAAAUAACAAGUUUAAAUCUCUUAACCUAGCUCAAUAAGGGCUCAAAUACAACUUAAAUGCUAGAAAGAAUCAUAAGGGUGCACUAAGGAAUAUGCAAGUGGAGGUUUAAUGCACCAAGGAAAGAAUGAGAGCUUUUGAGUCAAGAACAAGUAGGUAAACAAAUAAAUGCAAGUGUUCUCUUGCUCAUAAAUGAAGUGGAGUUCUCAAUUUAUAGGUUUUUAACCUCGAAAACCAAAAUGCCAAAAAGCAACCUUGAUCGGUUGAGUUGGGGGUCGAUCAAUUGAUUAGUCAUUGGGCAAUAAAUGCAUGCUAGGUGAUCAUUAGGCCUCGAUCGGUCCUUGUCGGGAAGGCAUAACCCUUGAUCGAGAAUGCAAGGCUAUUGGAAGAGAGAGAAGAUUUUUUGCAUCUCUCGACCGAACAUCGAUCGAGAAGGUAUAACCAGUCGACUAAUACCUUAAUUGAUCAAUGGUACCCUAACCAAUUGAGUCGGUUUGCCAAUGCCUCGAUCGAUUCACCAUUUUUUGUCCGAAAACCUAUAUUUUUUUUAUUAUUAUUUUGACUCCUAACACUUAGGCAAGGUCUUUAGGUAAAUUAAUAUGUUAAUUUUGAAAUGAUUUGGCUAAAGUUCAUUUGAUAAAACUCGAGUUUUGAUGGAAAUGUAACUUUAAUGCAUAAACCGAGUUUUUAAAGAUGCAUCAAAAGAUAUGAAAUCCCUAAGUGCACCCAUGCAUUCAUCUUACGUAUGUUUCCUAUGAUUAAAGAGUUUUCCAAUUGUCUUGAUUUUACAUCAACUAAGUCCUUUGAUGAAUUUCCAAACUAACACCUGAAAUUCUUUUUAAUUCAAAACGAUUAGCAACUUAACCAUAGUUUGUUAUCAUCAAAACGCGAUUAGGAGAAUUCAUGGGCUAACAAUUCUCGUUAAUGGAGUGUUUAAGUAACUUCAAAACUAGGUUUUGAGAAAGUCAAUAUUUUUCUAUGGAUCAUAGUGGUUCUUGCUUGAGCUCAUGGUCUUUGUUGAAACAAAGAUUUGAGGGAAAUUGGAAAUUUAAUCACAUAUGUGCAUAAGGGCAAUUGCUAAAAGUGUAAGGUAGUAUAAGAACUUAUGAUUAUUUAUUUUGAGGUUUUAUAUAGAAUCAUUCAUUUAUGUGUAUAAGGGUAUUUUGGCAAAAAAAAAAAAAAAAAGUAAGGUUGCACAUAAUUAAUGAAUAAUUAUUUUGGUUUUUUCCCUAGAUUAGACUAAUUAAUUAACUAGAGCCCAAUAGGGCUAAUUAAUUAAUUAGGAUCCAAUGAGUUAUAUUAAGUGACCUAAGCCAAAGUUGGGCCAAAGUCACUUAAACCCAUAAGAGAGGGUAUAUAAAACCCCUUAGGGUUUUUGAAUUAUUUAACUUAUUCAUUCCAUUCUUUCAAAGAGAGCUCUAACCUCCAUCUCUCUCCCUCUUAAGUAUGUAGCUACUUUAAACAUGUGCCAAGGAUCAAAGACAAAGCCAUUGGGUGGAAGGUCUGUAGGCCUUUGAGAUCCUUACAUCAAUUGGAAUAGGAUUUGGGAACAUCUAGAUUCAAAGGUAUGAUUUUUAACACCUAAAUCUAAUUUUUAUUACUUUUGUUGUGUUUAGAUAUAGUAGCUAGCUCAAAGAACUAGAGAGCAUGCACCCUAUGAUCUUGGUGCUUCCUAUUAAAAUUAGUUCAGCAAAACAUAACUUUAGCUAGUGGUGACGCACUUCCAAGCUGCAACCAUGUGUCAUAUAAAAGCUAACUAAUCUAAGUGUCCUAACCAAUCCCUCGAGUUGAACAUUUACCUUGUAAAGAGUACAAGUGACUACUACAACCACCAUCUAAAGGGAGAAUACCAAAUAAAUUUUCAACUACUUAAAUUAAGAAAGUUGUUGACUCAAUUGCCCUUUCCUAGUGACAUUUUGCCUCAUCGGAGUGCAUCUCAUAGCAAUAGAUUAAUUCAGAUUUGUCCUCUAAUCACUUCACUAAUAAAAUUAAAAUUUAGCUAAAAUUUUUAUGAACCAUCUCUCUUUUUUAGACAUCAUAAUUCAACAUGUCGUUUCUUAUACCUUUAAUCCCUUCCUAUAAUUGAGCUAAAAUCAGGACAUUAUAAUUAAAAACAAGGCCAUUACGGUUAUUUAUGUAGGAAUAAAAUUUACUCAUUCGUUGAUUUUUAUGCAUCAAUAAAUAACGAAUCUUUAAUUGACAUGUAUUAAAUGACUAAAUAAAAAUCCACAUUUAUAACAAAAGUUAUAAUAGUUGUGGCAAAUAAAAAGAUGUCGAGAGCAUAACCCUUGUGAUACAUAAAAUCCUUCUAAGUGUACUAUACAUCUUUGAAUAAAAUAAAGGCAUGGGGGCUACACAAAGGAGAAACUGUAUUCUAAUGAAAUAAAACUAAAUUAAUUAAUUUUUAUGAUUAAGAAAUAAUAUCCACAUUUUUAAUUAAUCCACAUUUUUUUGCAAUUAAGGUAAUAAUCGUAGUAACAAUAAUUAUUUAUUAAAAAAAAUAAGGGAUAAUUCAAAGGUAAUUUCUCAAAUUUUAUGCCUCUUUGACCUUCAAAGAAGAAUGUCUCAAAUUUUAUAUCUCUUUGGCUUUCAAAGAAUACUUGCACAGUUUGAUAUGUAAGAAAAAUUGUAGAUAUCUAACUUUAAAUUUUGAAGGUAUUUUGGUGAAAAAAUGUAAGGUUGCACAUAAUUUAUGAUUAAUUAUUUUGGUUUUUCUUCCUAGAUUGGACUAAUUAAUUAAUUAGAACCCAAUAAGACUAAUUAAUUAAUUAGGAUUCAGUGAGUUAUAUUAAGUGACCUAAGCCAAAAUUGGUCCAAAAUCACUUAAACCCAUAAGAGAGGGUGUAUAAACCCCCUUAAGGUUUUCGGAUUAGUUAAAUCAUAAUUCCAUUCUUUCAAAGAGAGCCCUAACCUCCAUCCCUCUCCCUCUUAAGUGUGUAGCUACUUUAAACAUGUGUCAAGGAUCAAAGACAAAACCAUUGGGUAGAAGGUCUGUAGGUUUUUGAGAUCCUUACAUCAAUUAGAAUAGGAUUUGGAAACAUCUAGAUUCAAAUAUAUGAUUUUUAACACCUAAAUCUAAUUUUUAUUGCUUUUGUUACGUUUAGAUAUAGUAGCUAGCUCAAAGAACAUGCACCCUAUGAUCCCGGUGUUUCUAACAAAAAGUAGUUUAGCAAAGCAUAACUUUAGCUAGCGGUGGCUCACUUCCAAGUUGCAACAAGCUGAAACCAUGUGUCAUAUAAAAGCUAACUAAUCUAAGUUUCCUAACGAAUUCCUCAAGUUAAACAUUUACAUGCGACAGUGAAAAGUGCAAGUGACUACUACAACCACCAUCUAAUGGGAGAAUACCAAAUAAAUUUAUGAGCCGCUUAAAUUAAGCAAAUUGUUGACUCAAUUGCCCUUUCCUAGUGAAACUUUGCUACUUGUAUGCCACAUCGGAGUGCUUCUCAUAGCUAUACAUUAAUCACUCCACCAAUAACAUUAAAAUUUAGCUAAAUUUUUUAUGAAACAUCUCUCUUUUUCAGACUUAAUAAUUCAGCAUACUAUUUCUUAUACCUUUAAUCUCUUCCUAUAAUUAUGCUAAAAUCAGGGAAAUUAUAAUAAAAAACAAGGCCACUACGGUUAUUUAUGGAGGAAUAAAUUUACUCAUUCAUUGAUUUUUAAGCCUCAACAAAUAACCAAUCUUUAAUUGACACAUGUUAAAUAACUAAAUAAAAAUCCACAUCUAUAACAAAAGUUAUAAUAGUUGUGGCAAAUAAAAAGAUGUUGAAAGCAUAACCCUUGUGAUACUGUAAGUGUAAUAUACAUCUUUGAAUAAAAUAAAGGCAUGUGGGCUACACAAAAGAGAAACUGCAUUAUAAUGAAAUAAAAAUAAAUUAAUUAAUUUUUAUUAUUAAGAAAUAAAAUUUAUCCCUUUUUUUAUACAAUUAAGAUAAUAAUCUUAGUAAAAAUAAUUAUUGAUAAAAAAUUAAGGGAUAAUGCAAAGGGAAUUUCUCAAAUUUUAUGCCUCUUUGACUUUCAAAGAAGAAUGUCUCAAAUUUUAUACCUCUUUGGCUUCCAAAGAAUACUUUCACAGUUUGAUAUGUGAGAAAAAUUGUAGAUAUCUAACGUUAAUUUUGAAAGAUUUGAAAACAAAUUUAAAAGUUUAAAAAAGGAAUUUCUUAAAUUUUAUGCCUCUUUGACUUUCAAAGAAGAAUUUCUCAAAUUUUAUGCAUAUUUGGCUUUCAAAGAAUACUUUCAGACUUUAUUACAUGAGAAAAUUAGAGUGUAUUUGAAAGUAUUUAUAUUCAAAGUGUUUUUUCUAAAAGUGUUUUUAAAAGAAUCACCUAUAAAACACUAUAAGUGACUAGUCAACACUACAAGUAAUUUUUCAACACAACAAAAUUGUUUCAUAACUUUUUUCAAACAUCUUAUUAUUGUUGUUAUUGUCAAAAACACUUUUUAGGUUAGAAGUGUUUCUCAAAAACACAAUUAAACAGACUAUUAGUUAUAGAUAUCUAACUUUAAAUUUUCAAAGAUUUGAAAAACAAAAGGUUCAAAGAAUAAAAUUUAAAAAUUUGGAAAAACCAAGUUCGAAGUGUCAUCCAUUUGAGAUCAAGUUCUUGUCAAGCAAAGGACUAAGUCCUAGAUCAAGGCUUGGGUCCAAAGGUAACAUAAGCUCAAACUUAUGGGCCUAAGUCCAAGCCUAAGUGGGUGUUUAAUAAAACUUAAUAUUUAUUACUUAAUGAUUUAAGUUGACUUUUAAGUUAAAUUAUUUUUAAGUUCUGAACUUAAAACUUAUUAUUUAAUUUUUAUUUUAAGUAUUAAGGUUGUUUGAUAAAAUUAACUUAAAAUUUAUUUUAAGUUAUUGAAUUAACAUAUUUUCCCCAUUAGUUUUAAUUAAUAUUUUUAUUAAAAAUUUAACUAAUAUUUAUUUUUAUUAAUUUUAAGUAAUAAAUGUGUUUAUUAAAUAUUCAUACUUAAAGUAUUUUAGAUUUAUAUGAUAACUUCAAUAGACACUCCAAUAUUUUUCCUAUCACUUCAAUAGACCCUUAAUAUAACUUAAUCAUAUUGUCUAUUGUCUACUCUAUUCGACCCUUUUGGGAUCCUAUGUGACGUCGGACAAUUACAUGUGUUAGGUUUUCAAUGGGCAAUCAACUACUUUAUAAUGGCAAUAGACCUUUGUCUUAAUUGACGACAAAGCCUUGCACUUGGGAUUUUUUCCAAGGGAUCCUUCUUAGAAUCCAAUGAUUUUUAAACCAUUAACUUUUAUUAUAAGGAUAACCCAGUCCAUGACAAUUGGAUAUGGACUACUUGGAUGUCUAUUUUUUCCUAAUUUCCACAUGCAAACUGACAAUAGAAUGUGAACAAAAUAAGGACAGCAUGGUAAUAAUGAUUGAAGAAUAACAAAUUUAGUAUUCGAUGAAUAUAUUUUCUUUUAAAAUAUAUAUAUAUAUAUAUAUAUAUAUAUAUAUAUAUAUAUAUAUAUAUAAUAAUUUCUAUGUAAAAUAUAAUAAUUUUUUUUAUAAAAAGGUUUAAAUUGACAAUGUAAUGAUUUUUAAAAAUUAAUUUAAUCUACUUAAUAAAUUAAAUUAAAUUAUUAUGUCACCUUAAGGCAUUAAGUUAAAUUACCAAACACCCUAUAAGACCAAAAUAAGACUCUAAUGAAAUAUAUAUGUAUAUAUAUAGCCACAGGAGAGAGAGAUUAUCAUUUAUAUUUGAUUAUUAUAUAUACAACAAAAAAUCAAUUUAUUUAUAAUUUUGAGAAAUUUAUGCAUAGAUUAAGGUGAUAUUUGGUAAAACUUAAUACCUAUUACUUAAUCAUUUGAGUUGACUUUAACUUAAAUUAUUAACUUAAAACUUAUUACUUAAUUUUUACUUUAAGUACGAAGGUUGUUUGAUAAAAUUAAUUUAAAACUUAUUCUAAAUUAUAAAAUUGACAUAUUUCUACUCAUAAAUUAUAACUAGGGCAAAAAAAUUUGAAUAGUAGCAGAUGUUGUAGAGUAGCAAAAGAGAUGGUCAAGGUAAUUAGGAUAAAUAAGAGUAAAAAGGUAAAAUAAAUAUAUGAACUUAAUUAUUUUUAUUUAUUACUUAAAGUUGUUUUUUACUUUAUAUCACACCAUUAAAUUAUUUUACUAAUAAAUAAGAGCAAAAAGGCAAAAUAAAUAUAUGAACUUAAGAAUAAGUUAAUUAUUUUUACUUAUUAUCUAAAGUUGUUUUUUACUUUAUGUUACACUAUUAAAUUAUUUUUCUAAAUAUAAUUAAUGUACUUAAUGAAUUAAAUUAAGUUAUUAAGUUAUUAAAUUGAUUUAUGACACACACACUAAAUAAAAAAAACUUAAAUUUAUUUAUUUAUUUUUUUGUUGUCUCUCAUGAAUAAUUAAAAGAAAAAAAAGUAAAAUAUAACAUUUUCCAAAAUAAAGAAAUAAACAAACACUCCAAUCUUUUUCUUUUCACUUCAAUAGGCCCUCCACAUAUCUUAAUAAUAUUGUCUAUUGUCUACUCUCUUCAACCCUUUUGGGAUACUAUGUGAUGUCGGACAAUUACAUGUGUUGGGUUUUCACCGGGCAAUCAACUAUUUUAUAAUGGCAAUAGACCUCUGACUUAAUUGAGGACAAAGCCUUGCACUUGGGAUCUUCUCCAAGGGAUCCUUCUAAGAAUCCAAUGAUUUCUAAACCAUUAACUUUUAUUAUAAGGAUAACCCAGUCCAUGACAAUGGGAUAUGGACUACUUGGAUGUCUAUUUUUUCCUAAUUUCCACAUGCAAACUGACAAUAGAAUGUGAACAAAAUAAGGACAGCAUGGUAAUAAUGAUUGAAGAAUAACAUAUAAAGCAUUCCAUGGAAUAUAUUUUCUUUUUUAAAAUAAGCAAAAAUAAAAUAUAGUAAUUUCUAUGGAAAAUAUAAUAUAUAUAUAUACAAAAAAGUCAUUUUUUUAUUUUUUAAAAAUAAAAAAUAGAAAAUAUAUUUAAAGAAAGCUUUGAUUUAUAAAUUAUUAUAAAAGCCUCAUUUUUUAAAUAAUAAGAUAUUAGUGGGAAUGAAUCAUUGGUCAUUCCAAAGUAUACAUGGAUUGUAAUUGAUGGUUAUUCUUCUUGGAAGAUAUCAUCCAUACUGCCAAAUUUUGCAAUGGCAUAAAUGACAAAUACAAGAAUGAUGAAUAAAAACAUGUUAUAUAUAUAUAUAUAUAUAUUAUCACAAUUUUGUUUUGUCAUUGCCAUCAUUUUUAUGGCGGUGGUAAAAACUAAGGAAUUUGUCCCGACUUUAAAAAACAUGAUUACAUGAUUUUAAUGUGAAGGACUAGACUGAUUAACUUAGAGUGCUUUUGAAAGUGAUUCUAGAAAAUAUUAUUAACAUUUUAAACAUUUGAAUGACAAAAAUUUUUAAAUAUUAAAAAUGUUAGAAACAUUUCUUAAAAUCACUAUUAAACGGACUCUUAAUGUGAUUUUAGUAGUGAUUCUAACAUUUUUAAUAUUUGAAAGAUAAAAAAUUUUAAGUGUUAAAAAAAGUAGAAAUACUUUUUGAAAUCACUAUUAAAUACAUGCUUAAGAGUCUAUUUGACAAUGAUUAAGGGAAGCUUUUUUAUUUUAAAAAGUGUUUUUGAAAAAAAAUUAAUCGUGUAUUUGAUAGUGAUUUUGAGAAUUGUUUUUAGUUUUCCUAAUACUUAGAAAUUUUUAUUUUUCAAGUAUUAGAAAUAUUAAAAAUACCUCAUGAAAUCAAUAUUAAACGCACUCUAAGAGUGUUUGUAAGUGAUUUUAGAAACUGUUUUUAAUAUUUCUAAAACUUGAAUAAUAAAAAUUUUUAAGUAUUAGAAAAAUUAAAAGUACUUUAUAAAAUUACUACCAAAUGGGUUAUAAGUGUUUAACAAAAUUUAUGAAAUAUUUUUAAAAAUUAAAAAAAUAUUUUAUGAUAUUAAAAAAUCACUUAUAAUAUUUUUUUGAGAAAAUACUUAUAUUAAAAAUACUUGCAAUGGUUUAUAGGUCCACUUCAAAAGAGCACUUGCGGCAUCGGGUAAUAAGCAAUGACGUAAGCAAAGAUGGUGAUACUAUUGAUAGAGACCAUUUAAUACACAAUGUACAGGCUUGGAAAUGAGAACACGUGUCCUAUCGUGAGGCAAUAAGAAAGUGUUGUAUAUAUGCCGGCCAUUGCUCGCCAACGAGUAAGAUAAGAAGUGAUGGGCCUAUUAAUAUAAAUUGAUUCUCUCAACUAUGAAGUAAUUUAGAGGUCGCUGCUGGAAUGCUCUUCCAAAGUGGAAAUGAAGCUUAGCUCAGUUGCAAUUUCCUUUGCUUUUAUUGUUCUCCUCAUAUAUGCAUGGCGGUUAUUGAAUUGGGUGUGGUUGAGACCAAAGAAGCUAGAGAGAUGCCUUAGGCAGCAAGGUCUGACUGGGAAUUCCUACAGGUUGUUGCAUGGGGACUUUAGAGAGAUGUCGAGAAUGAUUAACGAAGCAAAUUCCAGACCCAUGAGCUUCUCUGAUGAUAUUGUGCAGCGAGUUCUACCAUUUCACGAUCAUUCCAUCCAGAAAUAUGGUAUGAAAAUGAGCUACUCUUUAUCAUUGCAGUAAAAUAUAUUUAAUUGUGGAAUUUUCCCCAAAAGAUUGUUGGUUUUCUGGUCUUUUUUUUUUUAUUAGUUAUUUUUCCUGUCCUUUUUUUUCUUCCCUAAGAAGUUAUAGUCCAAUGGAAUUUCAAUGGUACUUCAAAUUUCCCUUUUCUAUAUUGGAGUGCAAUUUUUAAGAUUUGUUUGAUUAACAAGAAUAAAAUAAUCCAAAUUUGUAAAAUUAUUCUAAUGAUAAAAAAAAGACUCAUUUUUUGAUAAAAAAAAAAUUACUUACGGCUUUUCUUUUCAACCUAAAAAAUGACUUUUUUUUUAUAAAAAUAUCCUUAAUGUUUUUCUUAUAAAAAUAAAUUUUAAAAAAUAAAAUAAAAUAAAAAUAUCAAAAUAUUAAGAGAUGCUUAUAUAAAAAAUGAACUAAUUUUUAAGUUGAAAUUCGAGAGGUGUUAGAUUUACAAAUUUAAUAUCAUUUCAUCCUUUUCAAUUGUGUAAUCCAAUUGUAGGUAUAUAUAGAUGUCAACUUUGAUAAAGAGCUUUAUUUACUUUGUAAAUUGCUCAAUCAUUGGGAAUUUGUGAAUUGUAUUUAAAUUUUCGUGUUAAUUGUUUCUUAUCUUUUCAAAUUUUGCAUGAACUCGUGACUCUUCAUUAUUAAUCACAUCAGUAUAAUUUUCUUUAGAUAUUUGAGCUUCUCCAAUUAGAGAGCCUUGCAUUGGCCUCCUUGACUACCCAGGUCCUUUAGAUCCUUUCUCACACUUAUCCAACAAUGGGCAUUAAAAAUGUAGCUUGUUAAUAUGGUUCAUUAACACUUAUGCAAUAACACUUAUCAAACUGUUAUUGCAUUUAAGAACUGUAAGAUGUUUCAUUUAUUUUGUUAAUAUGGUUCUCAACUAAUUUUUGUUUUCCUUUAAGUAGUUUGUCUUCCAAUUUUUGGCUUUCUAGUUUAAGAGCUUUCUUUUUGUUCAAAUUAAAGAAUGUAGCUGUGUCUUCAAAACAAAAAUCAACUUCAAGUAUCCCCUUUUCUUUUAUUGGCAGAACAUCUUAGCAAGAUGCAUGGUGAAAUACUACUGCAAAAUAUUUGUAGACUUAAUGGUCAAUUAAUGUCUGGAUGGUUUCAUCUUUGGAACACCAUGGAUAUUCCGAGAAAUUGAACAAGUACAAAGUCAUGGAUGAAAAUGCAUUAGUUGUUUCCUGUAUUUCAUUGAUCUUCAUUUACUUGGCUUACUUCCAAGCAGGUUUUUUCCAACAAAGACAAACAGGAGAAUGAGGCAAAUUAGCAGUGAAGUCAAUGCAUUGUUGAAGGGUAUCAUUGAGAAAAGAGAGAAGGCAAUGAAAGCUGGCGAAACUGCUAAUGAUGAUUUAUUAGGUCUACUAAUGGAAUCCAACUACAGAGAAAUGCAAGAAAAUGAUGAGAGGAAGAAUGUUGGAAUGAGCAUCAAAGAUGUCAUUGAGGAGUGUAAGCUAUUCUACCUUGCUGGCCAAGAGACUACCUCGGUUUUACUUCUGUGGACAAUGGUUCUAUUAAGCAAACAUUCAAACUGGCAAGCUUGCGCAAGGGAAGAGGUUUUACGGGUUUUUGGUAAUAAAAAACCAGAUGGCGAUGACUUAAAUCACCUCAAAAUUGUGAGUAUCAAUCCAAUCUAUAUUCAAUUUAGUAACUCUCCUUGAAAAUAAUGUACUCCUUUUUUUGUCAAUCUUGAGGCAAAAUAUGUUUUGUUUCUGUAUCUUUUUUGCUUUAAUUGAAAGCUAUAUGCAAAUACUUGGUACCCCAACUGGAAUUUUUCUUUCCUUAUCUGCUUGCACACUGCAUCAGCACUGGUGAAAAAGAGGUCGAUUUUACUGUAGAAGAAGGGGCGGCCUAUUCUUUUCUUUGCGGGAAUUUUUUAUUUGCUUGUUAGGUUGUUUUAAGUGAUGAAAACUUUGUGCAAAUACUUGGUAUCAAUCAUUUACAAGACUGAAGAGGAUAUUGAUGUUUCCUCUUGCCAAGCGUUUUUUCUUGAAAUUUAAACUCUGGGCUAUAAUAAAUUUUCAGGGGGUUCUUAGUUUGUAUUGACCAGUUACUGUAUGGUUCUAUUUGUACAUGAAAGUAUAUAUUAUGCAAAAAUUUAAACGAUCUCUUUCAUAACUAUAUUCGAAAAAUUCUUUCAUAGUUUGAUGUAUGCUUCUUAGUGAUAUAGUGUAUUUCAAUAAUGAAUUUUCAUGAUAAAAAUAUUUUCUAUAUUGCAGGUUACAAUGAUUUUUCAUGAGGUCCUUAGGUUAUAUCCACCAGCACCCAUGCUCACACGAGCUGUUUUUGCCGACAGCCAAGUGGGAGGAUUGUAUUUACCAGAUGGAGUGCAGAUCGCUUUGCCAAUCCUCCUAAUUCACCACGAUGAUAAAAUUUGGGGAGACGAUGCAAAGGAAUUCAACCCGGGGAGAUUUUCAGAAGGAGUUUCAAAGGCAGCAAAGAGCCAAGUUUCAUUUUUUCCAUUUGGUUAUGGUCCUCGGAUAUGCGUUGGACAAAAUUUUGCAAUGAUGGAAGCAAAAAUGGCUUUGGCAAUGAUCUUACAACGUUUCUCAUUUGAACUUUCCCCAUCCUAUGCUCAUGCACCUAUUAGUCUUACAACUAUGCAACCCCAACAUGGUGCACACCUGAUUUUACAUGGACUUUAGUGUCAGAAUUCCUGGUAUCAGCAGAUGUUAAUUAGCACGAUCUUUAAACCUAGCUAGUGUCGAAUUUAAAUUCUCCUCUACAAAUCCAAUGUAUUAAUAAAAUUAUCUUUUUGUAUGUCACUGUGGGUUUGAUUAUUGAUAUCAAUUAAAUGCUUUGUUUA
RNAcentral lists this long non-coding RNA (50890 nucleotides) under Vitis vinifera (wine grape). RNAcentral describes it as "long non-coding RNA (VVIN_LNC006591)". Lineage: Eukaryota; Viridiplantae; Streptophyta; Magnoliopsida; Vitales; Vitaceae. The record is from RNAcentral.